RNAcentral lists this long non-coding RNA (80135 nucleotides) under Coffea arabica (coffee). Its description in RNAcentral is "long non-coding RNA (CARA_LNC000913)". Lineage: Eukaryota; Viridiplantae; Streptophyta; Magnoliopsida; Gentianales; Rubiaceae. The record is from RNAcentral.
AGAGUACGAGUACGGCUAACAAUAGUAGUGUGUUACACUAACAUGCAUAGUCGUGUGUUAAUUUAUCUCAAUUUGAAUCUGAACUCUAAAUUUUGCUGGUGCAAGAUAACUUUAACUAUUUAGAUUAACGGUGUAUAUAUUGACAAUAUACACAUUAAUACUCUUGAAUGGACGUUAUAUGUACAAAAAAAAUAAUAAAGUUUAAAUUCAAAUUAAAAUUAAAUGACGUGUAUCCAAAAGUUAGUGCACACACUAUCACUAUCAAUGUAUACACGAUUAUUCUUUAGUUAUUUAUUCAGAACAAGAUUUCUAGAUUUAAAAUUUUCAAACUAAGAAAGAGAACAAAUUCAAACAAUUAGAAAGGAAAUCACAAAAAAAAAUUAUGCCUUGCUUGGAUUGCUUGUUUCCGUUGAAAAAUAUUAUCGUAUUCCGUGAUCAUAUUUCUCUAUCACCUUUUUCCCUCACAUAUAUCAAAUCGCUACCAUAAUUUUUUCAUGAAAAAUGACGGAAAAUGCAAUCCAAACACAACCUUAGUGAAUCACCGCAUUUGCUUACGGGCAAAAAAAAAAUGAUUAAAAGAAUUACCGAAUCUUAGAGUUGCCUUUCCUUACAACAGGGUGGGUGUCGCCUUUUUGGAAGACUUUAACGAGGACCAAAACAUCACAGACUUCCAAAGUUAGCAAUUUCCAAAACCAAGCACAAAGCACACGAACUCCUUUGCCUUCCCUAAUCCCUAUCCUACAUCUGCCUAUUUUAGUGGGGCACUCCAAACGAAGAACCAACAACUUCCCUAACCCAACUACACAACACUAAUGCCGUACCAUCCUACAUAUAUACAUAUUCACAAGGAACCAUGCCCGCAAUUAGCUUUAUUAUAUUUAUACCACCACCAUCAACCUUAACCAUACCACCUCCCUGUACGACAAGACACGACGAUCGAGACACCACCAAAGCCACCACUCUCUACGGAUAUUUUCAUCCCAUCAUCCACCCAACACCUCAACCUUAGAAUUUCUUCACUUUCCGGCGACAAUAAACGUGGAACCGUAUUCUUGUUUUUGGUUUAGCCAUGGACUUGGGUAAGUUUGUAGUGCAAGUGCUAUUCUUUUGCUUUUGCAUGCUUGUGCAGUUAAAUUCGUGCUAUUGCUCCAAGAAGGAAUCAUCAAUACUUUUAACUCUCAAAGCCCAGCACAUAUCUUCAAUGUCCAUCCCCAAGGCGCCCAACCGGGUCGCUUUUCACCAUAAUGUUUCUCUCACGGUUUCACUCACCGUUGGCUCACCCCCACAGCAAGUUACCAUGGUCCUCGACACAGGCAGUGAACUCUCUUGGCUUCACUGCAACAGAACACCAAACACCCUUUCCCUUUUCAACCCACAACUCUCUACUUCUUACUCGCCCGUGCCUUGCUCCUCACCCACAUGCAGGACCCGGACACGGGACUUCACUGUGCCCGUUUCUUGCGACCCGAAAAACCUCUGCCACGCUAUUCUCUCCUAUGCCGACGCCUCCUCCGUGGAGGGAAAUCUUGCUACGGAUACUUUUGCAGUUGAAAAUUCGAGCAUGCCCGGCUUGGUAUUCGGGUGCAUGGACUCCGGUUCGAGUUCUACCCCGGAAGAGGAUGCCAAAACAACCGGCUUAAUCGGCAUGAACAGGGGGUCCUUAUCUUUCGUUUCCCAAAUGGGUUUCCGGCAAUUCUCUUACUGCAUAUCGGGUCGUGACUCGUCGGGCGUGUUGCUCUUCGGGGCAGCCAAUUUUCCGUGGCUUGGGCCGCUGAAGUACACGCCAUUGAUACAAAUGUCUACCCCUUUACCGUACUUCGACCGGGUUGCCUACACGGUUCAACUCGAAGGGAUUAAGGUUUCGGAUACGGUGCUGCCGUUACCGAAGUCGGUAUUCGUGCCCGACCACACCGGGGCGGGUCAAACAAUGGUUGACUCGGGCACCCAAUUUACAUUCUUACUCGGCCCGGUUUACACUGCACUGAAGAACGAGUUCGUGAAGCAAACCAGGGGCGUCCUGAGGUUAUUGAACGAGCCAAAUUUUGUGUUUCAAGGGGCCAUGGAUUUAUGUUAUCUAGUAGAGUUGAGUCGUGCAACUUUGCCGCCAUUGCCUGCUGUAGCGCUGAUGUUUCAAGGGGCGGAGAUGAGUGUUGCAGGGGAGAAAUUACUGUACAAAGUUCCAGGUGCAACGAGGGGAACUGAUGGAAUCUACUGUUUCACGUUUGGGAAUUCCGAUUUGCUGGGGAUAGAGGCGUAUGUGAUUGGGCACCAUCACCAGCAAAACAUAUGGGUGGAGUUUGACCUUGCACAGUCCAGACUUGGCUGGGCAGAGGUUAGGUGUGAUUUGGCAAGUCAAAGGCUAGGCCUGGGUCAUUAGUUUUGACUUUUUAUGUCUUGGUUGUACUUUUAGUUAUUGCUAAUAUAUGAUAGAGUAGCUAUCCCAUUGGGCAUAUGGGAAUGGCUGUAGUAGGUCUAGUUUGAUAUAUUUAUUUAGAUAGAUAUCUUUUACUAGUUUUUUUUCAUUUGUUUUUUUGUGGUUGUGUAAUCCAACAUAGGCCAAUCCCUAGGUUACAUCCUCCUUGGCAUGUAAUUAUGGGAGUACAAUUGUAAUGUGGAGAGGUGACCGAUUGAUAGGACUGUGAUGUGAAGGAGUUUUCAUUUUGACAAACGGAAUCUGCAAUUGUGUGAAAAAUAUAUGGACGCAAUUUCUCGAGCAUUAUUAAUUGCAAACUAAGUUGAAACCAGUUCAAUCAUCAAUGUCAAUUUUCGUUUAGUUUGGAUUUUGACAAAAAAGGAACUCGCAGUUUCGUGAAAAUUGAUGCAACUUCUUGUGCAUUAAUUGCAAAUUUAUUUGUCAAAAUAUAUUUGCUUACAUCAUAAUUACAAUUUCCAACGCACCUUUUUAUUUUUUUAAUUAUCUUUUUAUCUCACAUACAUCACAUCACAAAAAGUGCUAUAGUAAAAAUAUCUCUAAUAAUUUACAAUCCAAACAAACCCAGUUCAAUGGCAAUUUGAUAUAGGCUCAUUUUAGUUUUGAUUGAGAAAAUUGGAGAGAAGAAGAAAGAAGAUGAAUUGGAGGAAUUUGGUGCUUGUUGUUUGGAUUGAUUUUUGAGGGCUAGAGGAAAUAGAUAAAAGAGUGACAAGGUUUAAUGUUUGCUGCGUUAUGGUUCGAAAGUGGGCCAAAACUAAGGCAAGCGAAACUAAAUUCAUUAAAAUAAUUUAAUUUUUUAAAGAUCAUUUUUUUUCUCUUUCUUUUCCAGUAAAUUAACACUUGAUCUUUUUCUUCUCAAUUCAAACAAAAAUUCAAUAUUUUCUUUUUUUCUUUCCAUACUUAAGUAAAACAAAAUUUAUGGAAAUCAUUUUUCUCUACUCUCCUUUCCUUUCUUUUCCAUUAAUAUCCCUUCCCUUUCUUUCAUUCAAUCCAAACGGAUCCUAGUUUGGAUUUUUGACAAAUGGGAAUUUACGAUGGUGUGAAAGGUGGUUCAAUUUCUUGUGCAUUAAUUACAAAUUAAGUUGGAGCCAGUUCAACAACAAUUUAAUUUAGUUUGAAUUUUGAUAGAAGAAAUCUGCAAUUGUGUGACAAUUGCUGUUGUUUGUUGUGCAUUAAUUUACGAGUUAAGUUGAAACCAGUUCAUUGGCAAUUUGAUUUAUUAAAAAAGUUUUAUACUGAGGGACAUACAACUGCUUUUGUUGUGCAUUAAUUUACAAGUUAAGUUGAAACCGGUUAAUUGGCAAUUUGAUUCCUUAAAAAAUUUUCUACUAAGGGACAUACAACUUGUGUGAUAGACAUGAACUAAAUAAUGCAGUUUGGUUUUUAGAUAUUUGUUACAAUUUUGUCGCCGUACACGUUACAUUUUUUUACUAGGAAUUUAAAAAAUUUGUGUACCAGAUGUGCUUAAAUAUUAUAAUACUGGGUUUUAAAUUUAUUUUUGUCCAAAGUUUGAGUACCAAAAUAACGGCUGAAGUUUAGAUAUCAAAACUGCAAUCUAGUUUUCUGAUGUUUAGGAAUUCUCAAUUUCCCAUAUUUGUAUCGAUUGUUUAGACAUAUACUACCUUGUUUUUAAUCGUUUUUCUAGGUGGACUCUUGACGUACGUUAUAUUUGUUGCAUCUUUCUCAGUUCUUCAUCAAUCAUCCGACAAUAACAUUAACGUUUGAAGCUCAUUGUACAUGUGUUCUUUAAUUCCUAACUGUAAGUCUUGUGUCUGUAACAUUAACGUUUCCCCAACUCUAGAAGUUCAUUGUAUACGUGCUCUUUUGCGGUAAUACCAAUUCGUGCUUGGGUUAAUGACUUUCGGGAAUGGCGUUUAGCAAUUGUUUUGCUCAUUGACAUAAAAUUUUGCACCCAUAAUUGGCUCGUUAAUGCCUCUAGUUUCAAGUUAUUCCUACUUCCAAUCCCGUACACUGCCUUGGGUCGAGGUUGGUAGAUUUGGGUAAUUAUUACAUCGUCUAUCAUGUCAUUCGUCUAACGUACUACUACUUCCUAGUUUGUUGUGCCACUCUUAUUUUGAUGUUAACUGGCGAGUCCACGUUUGUUGUUAGUAGUUCUUAAUGCUGGUUUUUGACUUUGAAAAUCCCAGUUGGCUAACAUGUAGACUCAGUCGGCGGUUCAGUCUCCACCGAUUCCUCUAGACCCCAUUGAACCUCCUUCUUAAAUUAGAAUGGUACUCCCUCCAUUCCACUUUGAUAAUCCUGUAUUCUUUUUUUAUCUGUCUCAAAUUGUAGUCCACUUUCCAAUUGAAGAAUGUAGUUGUAUUUUAAUUUUUUUAAAACAUCCUUAUUCAAUGUAAGUAGUUGUUACUAUAAAUCUACCCCAUUUAAUGAGAGUUGAUUCUUUUAUUACCAUCAAUUCAAGUUCUCAUAAAGUUGUACCAUAUUUAAUGUGAGGGUAUUUUAGAAAAAUAGUAAUCUAAAUUUACUUUUUCAAUAAAAUUAAUUAUUUUUUCUUAAACUGUGUGGAAAAAGAAACAAGGCUAUCAAAGUGAGACGGAGAGAGUAUAAGAUUGACGAUUGAUUAAAAAAGAAGAAUUUUGGCUAACAUCUAGACGCGGUGACACCCCAAGAAUGAUUUGCUUAUUCCUCGGUCACCUUCACCAAUCUCGUGCCGGGAAACUUCUGAACAUUAGCUGUCUGCCACCGUACUAUUUCCCAGUAGUGGUUCCAAAGAUUAUCAAACAUUCAAUUUUGUUUUUUUUGCCAAUAACGCUUAGUGCUAUCGCUGUAUACACUUUUAUGAUUAAAUGCAUAUAUAUAAAAUUUAAAAUUAAAAUUAAUUAUUAUAUAUUUAACGAUAGUAGUAUAUAAAUUGUUAGUAUAUAAAAGAUUAUAUUUUUAAUUUGUCUCCCUCCUCCUCCUUCACCCCUAGCCUGACCCAAAACAAAAAAAAAAAAGAAAAAAAGAUAACUGGUGGCCUUAACCCAAGCGGAAAGGCAUGGCAAGGGAAAUUGGGAUUUGGGUUUUCUAUCGUCCUUUGAUUAUUCGGUGAAAACAGGCCUGAGGCCUUUGUCCAAACAGACGAAACCAUCGUUUUCCGUCCCAGAUUGUUGGUGCCAGGAUAGGAAGGGGCCGGGGGUAUUAAAUUAACAGUAGACAAUGGAUAAUCAAAGGGUGGGCCUCGUGGUCACACAAUUGAUUACCAAACUAAAUUGGAGACCCCCUUGAAAAAGACCCUGUGCAGUUAAUGCAAAUUGACUACCUUUACCCUUUAGCUCUGUGGUCUGUAGAUAGAUGGCUGAUUCCUCAAUCAGACAGCUGUUGUUUGACAAAACAGUGGAAAUCGUAACUUGCAUGAUCUGCUCCGUUGCAACGACGUUCUUUUCUGUUUCUUUUUCGGCUAAAAUAAUUGCUCCUUUUGUAUUAGCUAUUUUUGGGAAUAUUUUAAAAAAUUUUACCACAGCAGAGUUUCUAGAAUAUAUAUUGAGAUAUUUUUAAAAAAUAUUUUAAAAUAUUUAAGAGUAGUAGAGUUUUUAAAAUAUAUUUUGGGAUAUUUAUGAAAUAUUAAAAAAACGUAGACUAUUUUUUAGAGUAUUUUUUUAUAAUUUUUUAUAAUAUUUAAAAAACUAAAGGAUCCAAACAAAUUCAACAAGUUUUCAUUCAUUGAACAGUUAUUAAUACUAGUGCCUGAAACACACGCUAAUGUUUGUGCAGUUAAAAUAUAUAUUUAUAUAUAUUUUUUAAAACAAUUAUUUCUUUAUAAUAUGUUUUACUGGUCAAAUUGUUUUAGAUAAUUGUACAUAAAUAUGAUGAAAGUUGGCAAUUAGUGUGAAAAAAUGGAUAAAUUCAGCAAUUAACCACUGCUGAUUCAAAUAGCUCAUUGCUAAUUGUGGAGAAGUUUCUUUUUCAUAAAUUGGGACAAAUUUACCCUUGUUAUUAAGGGAAUGUUAGAAAUUUUAAAAAAUGACAUUAUGUAUUUAUUCUGUGAUGCUCUCGUUAUAUAUAUAUAUAUAGAGAGAGAGAGAGAGAGAUAUAUAUAUAUAUAUAUAUAUAUAUAUAUAUAUAUAGAUAUUAAAAUUACAUUCAACCCGUCGUUUUAUCGUAAUCGAGGGACCUACCCAACCGAAGGCCGCAAUGAUGUGCUCUGAUAAAACUGGCGUGCAACGCGGUGAAUGCAUGGUGGUCUGUGGCAAGUGGACGACUACCACCUACAGCUUGCUGUUUGGACCCAUGCAUUGGACCCUUUGAUUGUGAGGUCAUCAGACCCCGAAUUCUCCCCAAAAAAAGACCAAUAAAAAUCUUGGUCACCAGACCCCCAAAUAAUCCGUAUCAAAACUGUCGGUAAUAUUAACGAUCGACUCGAGGACCCUCUUAAGCCCGUUUCGAUUGAUUACGGAUUUUUAAGAUAGGUUCAUCCUUUCAAGGAGUCAUAGGGUGGGUCGUCACCCAUGAGCCCACCAUUUAGUUUACAGAAGUUGCGUCCAUGUUUGGGCCGAAAACGUCACUAAUGCAGUUUCACUCUUAAAAUGUUUUGGGUAGAUUAAAACUUUCUGCGUUAUCUUGCAGGCCGUUUGGAAAAGAAGUUUUUUUGUCGAAUUUGUCUCUUUUCAGUUUUUCAAUAACAUUACUUACAGUAAUUUAAAAAAUUUUAUCAAAAUUUUAAACUACGUCCCAAAAAGAAACAGAAGAGCAAGAAAAGUUUUCCAUCUUAAAACAGAAGAAAAACUUCUCAAAGUUUUUUUUUAAAAAAAAAGAAAGAAAGAAAAAAAAAAUUUUCAUCUUAAAAUUUUUUCCUAUUGGGCUUUUUUAACCUACACAUUUAAAAUAUCCACAAAAAAAAAAAAAACUUCCUUUCCUUUUUCUUCUUCUUCCUCCCCCACCACUACCUCUGUCAACUGCUCUGUUACCGGCCACCACCUCCACCGCCAGUUCCGGCGCCGAUCACCUUUUCCGGUGCCGAUUUUUUUUUUCCCUUUUUCCCUCUUCCCCUGCAAGUUUUUUUUUCUCUCUGCGUCUCCCCCCCUCCUCCCCCACCACCCUUCCCCUUCCUCUCUGGCCGAUCUGGUCGCGAGACCAGAUCGCACCGAGGGAGGGUGGCAGGGAAAGGGGGGAUUUGCCCAAAAAAAAAAAAAAUUUGACGGGGGGCGGGAUUCGGGGUGAUAAACGGGAAGGGGAAUAGGGGAGGGGGAAGGGCCAAGGGGGUGACGGGGGAGGGGGAAGGUGGCGAGGGGGUGGCGGGGUAAAGGGGAAAGAUGGGCUUGUUUUGAAGUUGCGGGGGGAGGGGGUGGCGGAGGAAGGGCAUAGGGGAGGGCAGAGGGAAGCGAGGUGAGGGGGUGGCGGGGGGAGGGGGAAGGCGGGCAGAGGAGGUGGCGGAGGAAAGGGGUGGAGGGGCAGAGGGGGAGAAGCAAAGCAGGGGGUGGCGGGAGGUGGCACUGCUGGAGGCAGAGGUAACGGGGAAGGGGAAGAAGAAGAAGAAGAAGAAAGAAAAGAGAAAGAAAAGAAAAAAAAAGAAAGAGAAAGAGAAAGAGAAAAAGAAAGAAAAAAAAAGUUUUUAACCCUACAAAAACUUCUAUAAAAUUUUUCUCCUUACAAAAAACUUUUACAAAAUUUUUUCAAAAACUUCUACAGUGCACUACAGUAAAGUUUUAGACAAACUCCCAAAAAAUUAGGUUCCAAACAGGCCCAUAGUAAAGUUUUAGACAAAUACCCAAAAAUUCAUUUGUCAAACGGGACUACUUUUCAUUUCUGGUGGUGUUUUAAAUUAAAUUUUAUUGCCAAAUCUUUUUCCAAAUGGGGGUGGUUGUUUAGUUCCAAAAAGGGAAAUGAAGGAAUAAGGUACUUCGACAUGAACAGAAGGUGAAUUUGAAGGACGAAAUUAAUAGAAACAAGUGACGAUCACCCUGCCUAUCCAUUCCCAAGCUUCCUUUCAAAGAUGCCCCAAGAAAAAACACAGGCAAUGAGCUCUCCUGGCUUCACAGCAAGAGAACAUCACCAAUCUUUUCCAUCUUCAAUUGACAACGCUGUACUUUUUCUUUUUUUUUUUUUUGAUAAUGGACAGCGCUGUACUUCUUAGUCUCUGUACCGUGCUUCCGUUUCUUGAGACCCGAAAAAUCUUUCCCAUGCUAUUCCCAAAAUAGGAUUAAUUUCACUUAGCACCCUUUAAUCAUAUUCCACUUUUCACUUUGGUCCCUAAGUUUCAAAGUGAGAUACUUUAUUUCUUAAAAUAUAAAACUUGUCCCACUUAAUUAAAAUAAUCAACAGAACUAAGGCAUAUUUUAUUUUGGCCACUAAAAGUGGGAUUGGCCUAAAUUCAUAUUUAUUUUUGCCACCAAAAAAAUAGAAUCUAAUUUUUUUGUACAUAAAAAAUGAUUGCAUGUGGAUUAUGUAGUGAUUUUAGAUUAAAAAUUUGUCAAAAAUUUAGGUUGGGAUUAAAUUUUACUAACUUGAAUUUCUAAGGGAUGUAAAAUAAAAAUUUUAAAAGUGAAUAAUGAAAAAAUUCAUUUGGUAAAAUGUGUGGGAUGUUUUCAAUAAAUUUUCCUUAUAUUUAAGUAGGACCAACUUUAUAGUUUAGGGACUAAAAUCAUUGAUAUGUGUGAGAUAGAAUUUAUACUUAAAUAGGAUGCAUUUUAUACUUUGGAAGCUUAAAUGGAACAGAUUUUAUACUUUAAAUACACAAAUGCAGUGCUUUGAAAUUAGACAUCAAAAUAAGAAUCUAAAUAUAAGUGAAGAGUGCAAAGUGGAAUUAACCCUCUCAAACAUGCGAUGCUCCCGGUGGAAGGAAAUCUCGCUGCAGAUACUUUUUGUGGUUGAUAAUUCAAGUGCAUGAAUUUUUUUGAAAAAAAAAAGAAAAAAUAAGGGUUGAUUGACAUCACCCGUUGGAAUACAUUCCACAAUCCAAUGCACCCAUUUAUCACAAAAUCCAUUUCGAUCAUUAUAGCUUUCAAGAAAUGCCAUUCAACUCUAUGAUAGGCCAUGUUGUGGAGAGCCAGUAUGACCUAAUGAUCUUAAAUGCAUUUUUCCAGUAGUAAUUCUAGAUACUUUUACAUAUAAUGUAGGCAUUCCAAGGAAAAAUAAAUAUUAGGGGUGGCAAUUUCUAAAGCAACAUGAAUCUAACACGAAAUUAACGGGUUUGGGUUGAGGUUUCGCGGGUUUGGGUCAGAAUCGAGUCGAACCCGGUGAAUCCAAAAAUAAAACAAGUCGAAUUCGGGUCAACUCGUGGGUGAUCCGAUAACCCGUUUACGAAUUAAAAAUAAUUUAAUAAAUAUAAAAAAUAUUUUAUCUAACUAAACUAAGUUAUUCAUUUUUUUCCAAAGGUAUUAACCACUUAAUCCUAAAUGAAUUUGUUUAACUUGUGUGAAGUUGAAAUUAUUAUGUUUAGACAAAUAAUGUAAUACAUUAUUUUAUACUUUUAUACUAUUUUAAUUUAUUUUAUAUUUCGUUUGGGAUAAAAUGCUUUUAUGGUGUUUUAAUUUAUUUUAGAUCUGGUUUGGGAUUAUUUUAUUAAAAUUUUUAUUAUUUGAUUAUGUAAUUAACCUUGUGCGAAAUUAGUUUUAUUAUAAAUUAUAGUGGUAAAUUAAUAUAUUAAAACUAUGUUUUAGGUCAUUCGGGGUCAACUCGCCAGCACGAAAUUUUCGAGUUUGGGUCAGGUCUUCUGACCCGUUUUGGGUUGGCGGGUCGUGUUCGGGUAAGCGGAUUUUCUAUUAUUCCGAUCCUCAAUCCGACCCGCAAUCCGUUUCUGACCCGAUUGCCACCCCUAAUAAAUAUGUAGUCGGUGUGAAGGGACUCAAUUGCUUGGAAAAAGAUUCAUGAUUUUAAUUCAGAGACUAAUGUCUCAGCUCAGAGGCAAUGAAGGAUUUGGCAUUAGAUGGUUGAAAUUGGAGAAGAAAGCUUUGUUAGCAAAACUUAUAUGGUACUUGCUGAAGCAUAAUGAAGCCUCACGGGUUGGAGAAGCAUGGAAAAACAUGGGAAGGGGUUAAAUCGAGGUUAACGUGGAGAAUGGGUAGCAGGCGUGACAUAAACUUCUAGCUUGACAUUUGGUUAUUAUAUAGCUCACUCAUCCAUGUUGAUGAGAUUUUCCUUUUUUUUUUAAGGUAUUAUAGUCUGGCAAAUUUCUCAGAAUAAUGUAAUAUCACAAAAAUAGGGUUACUUGGGAUUGAGUUCUAGUUUAAGGGUCACUGCAAAUUAUAAAGGAGGUUUCAGAAAAAAAUUGUUUUAAAUUUCAUUUUUUUUCCUCCCAUGGAAAUAAAUGCAGCGAUGUAUAUAUAUAUAUAUAUUUUUAGGUGCAGCGAAGCUUUAAAAUUUUUUUAAAAAAUGAAAUCGCACUGAUUUUGCCUGUUAGCCCUAUCACACUAAACCCUAAUACGUAAACCCUAACCCUAAAAGUCUAAAAUUUAAUUUACCUACAAAAAUUGUGCUAACUUCAUAAAUGAUGUUUAAUUAUCCUAUAAAAAUUCGUUCAUUAUAUAAGAUAAAAUGAUUAAAUUUGGUGUUUUAUUUUUAAAAUCAUAAAAGUUAUUCUAAAUGCACCAAAUUUGAGUUUUUGUUAAAAGUACUUUUAACAUAAAAAACUUUACUCCUAAUUUUAUGGGAUGAUAUUUAUCAAAUACUUUAAAAUAUACUUGUAAGCUUCUAAAAGUAUUUUUUUACCAAAAGCACCGCAACUCCAAACGAGACCUAAAUUUAUCAUGUGACCUAUACAAGAUAAUUUUUUUGGUGGCAAAGAAGUUAUAUUCUAUUCGUAAUAAAAAUUUUUGAUCCAUAUUCAUUUUGUCCCCGCAAAAGUAGAAUCAAAUCCAAGUCAUAUUCGUUUUCUCUAAAAAAGUGGGACCGUAUCUAUUUCAUAUUUAUUUUUAUCACUAAAAAAGUGGGAUUUGAUCUUUUUAUACAUAAAAAAUUACUCUAUGUGGGGUUAAGUGGUGAUUUCAAACUAAAAGUGGUCAAAAACUUAAAUUAGAACCAAAAUUUAACGAUUUGCUUUUGUAAAUGAUGUAAAUUUAUUGUUUUAAAAGUAAAUGAUGAAAAUAUCUUUUAGUGAAUGUGAGGAAUCUUUUGAACGAUUUUUUCAUUGUAAAAUUUAUCAAUCCAUACAAAUAAGUGCUGUAAAAUUCAUAAUUGUAUCAAAUUUGUAUAAAUUUUACAUCACAUAUUAUAAGCAUCUAUAUAAUAUAUAAAGGGAAACACCACUAUAUGAUGUAAAUAUACAAUGUCACUUUUUAAAAUUUCUAAUAUACACUUAAUUAGAAUAACAAAUUUGUCCCAAUUUAUUCCAAAAUAAUCUCCCCAAUCACAUGAUAGUUAUUUGAAUCAAAAGAUAGUUAUUUAUUCAAUUAUCCAUUAAUUACAACUUCAUCACACAACUCUUAAUUAGAGAUGUAAAUCACAAUCAAAUUAUAUUGACCCAUCAAAACUUGUAUAUUAAUUUUGAAUGAGUCUAAACAGGUAUCCAAUUAAAUACAUUUAAUUAGUAGGUAAUGAGUUGACACGACUUACUUAUUUAUACUCGUUUAAAAAUAAUUAUACAUUUAAAUUUAACUUUUAGUAAGUGCUAAGCAAAUACAUUUAAAUUUCUUACCAAUCUAAUAACAAUAAAAUACCAUUAAUCUUAUCAAACAACAUGCGAACAAAUAAAAAAAUAAGUAGAAUUUUAAAUGAAUCAUAAAUAAGUAAUUGGGUAUAAUCAUACUCAUUUAUUAAAUGAACAUAAAUGAAUUAAUCUAAUUAUAUCAUUAUUUAAUUAUGAUCUAUCCAAAUCCGUUCGAAUCAAUUAUUUUGAUACUCUGCUCCUAACCUACAUAUUUUGUUCCACUUCCAUUAUCUUUUUAAUAAAAUUUAACCCAUAAAACUCAUAAAAAAUGCUUUUUAAAGAGAUAAUUUUAAUAAAUAUAUUUUUUUAUGAACUGCACAUACAUUUGGAGCGUGGCUUAAGCACUAGUUAUAGUAAUCGAACCGAAUUGGACAGGCUCCAGCUCCGUUAUAUUCGUCCCAAAAAUUAAGCAGAGCAACUGUUUCCAACCAUCCAUAGCUUUUGUGGGUUGAAAAAAUGUUGCACCAGAAAAGAGACAAAAUUUAGAAAAAGCCACCAGUUACCGAGUCAGCUCUUGUCCCUCUCGCGUCCCAAACUCAUUCUUUGUCCUUCUUGACCCUGAACGAAAAUAGAAAAUCCUCGCAAAUAACCAAAAAAUAAAUAAAAAAGAAAAAGAGUAGAGAGUAAUAAGGACGAGAGACUUCAGAGAGGGAAAGGGGAGGAGAUACGAAAGAUUUCAUUUUUAAUUUAUGAAUGCCAUUCUUCUAAGUCAUCUCGAUCUCUUUCUUCCCCAUUCAACCACUUCCUGUAAGUCCAUUAUCAUUUCCGCAUAUUUAUGUAGCUGGAAUUUUGACGAUUUUGAUGAAAUGCUAUGAUUUUGUUUCGUCAAUGAUCAAUUUAGAAAGAGAUUAUUAUCUAUUUUGUUACUGAAGCUGAAUUUUUGUUCAAUAAUUGGAGAAUUGUGACUGAUGAGAAAGUGUAUUAUUGAACCCUAGUUACCAAAUUUGUGUACUAACCUUUUCCCUUCUACGCAGAAAGAAAUAGAUUGUUUUAAUCAAAAUUAAGUUUGGGUAUCUAAUUAAUUAGUGAUUCUACUUCCGAAAUUGUGACAGUGCUUUUUUUUUUUCUUUUUUUUUUUUUGUGUGCUUUUGAGUGUUGAUGGGAGUUUGUGAUUCGAUAUAUGACAAAAAAUUGGGUUUCUGUGUAAAUGGACAGGAUUGGGAACGAAUUCCUACUUUCUUAUGUUAUGUAAAUGCAAAUAAUAAUGGCACUAAUAAUUGUAUUUCCUUAAAUCUUCGUUGUCCUGUUACUGUAUGAAUGUUGCUGUAUUUGGGCUAAAUUCUAGGUCAUUUCUGUUGAAAGUACUGAGUAACUCAAUGAUGAAGGACUGCUGUGAAAAGAGUUAAUGGGCUGUCUAUGCGUUGGCUCCUGUGCAUCUGUUUACUGAACUGUUUUUCUUUUUAGUGACUUGUAUGGCAUUUUAGGAAGUUCCGAUUUUAGCCGCACAAGGCAUCAACUCAUGCCAUUGGAGAGUGCAUGCAGGAUUUCACCGAACAAAAACUGAUAAGGAUGACAACAGCUCCUUUUAAUACUAAGGACCUAGUGUUUGUUAUGCUACUGAUACAACGAUUAUCUUGAUAUCAGCACCAGGUCCUGAAUUGAUUAUCUUCAAACCUAGAAUCAUGAAAUGGGACACUUGUUUAUUAAGCUUUUCAUUAGAAUUUUUAAAUAGAGAUAAGGAAAUGGCUAAGGAAGAAAAUGGUGACGAAUUUUAAGGAAACGGGAAAGAAAAUAGUUAAGAAGAUGAGAGACAAUUAAAGCAUUGUUCAUUCAAUGCAAUUCUUGCCAGUUUUCCUUGAGUGGAUGGAAUUUUGAAAGGAUAGCAAUGGUCUGUUUUAAAUCUCAUGAUCUUCCUUGAAUUUCCAGGCCCCCCCCCCCCAAAAAAAAAAACUUACUUUUAGCUGUAUGUCGCAUGUCAUGCUUGUGUCCUUGUGAGGCGUGAUAGUAUGUCAAUGGGGUUUGAAUGGAAAUCUUUUUUUGCUCUCUCCCGCUCUCUUGCUCUCACUCUCUGUUUCAUCCUCUGGUUGUUGAAGUCUCUGGAGUCUCUGUGGAGAUAGAUCCACGUUUUGGAAAACAAGACCAUGAGUUUUGUGUUCCGAGGCACUAGAGCAGAUGUAGAAACUGGUUUCCCAGGGCUUAUUCCGGAGCGUCGUACAGUGGUAUUAAUCUUGUACAAUUUGUAAAAUUUACUUUACAUCAUUUGUAAAGUUACACGGUUCAAGAUGCCUUGUAAAACUGAUUAUGCUUCCAAACAUCUUUUACUCCUUUUGUUCAGCGUGUUCAUGGAGCCCGACCAGUUAAUACCAAUUCUCUUGCAUUUCUUGUUACAGGUGCUUACCUUUUAACAGUUUGGGAAUUUUUGGUUUUGAGUGACUCACUGAAAAAUUGCAAAAUAUAAUUUCUUUUUCUUUCUAUGAACCAGUUCUUUUGCUGUUCAUGAUUCUUAACUCCCAUCAAAUGUCACCCAACUUUCUGGUUAGUAAUCUCUUCACUGGUGAAUUGUUAGACUCUAUCUUAAUUUGGCACUUAUGAAAACCUAAGCUUUGCUUCCUUUUAGCUCUGGCUGGUACUUGCUGUCUUUUUGAUGGCAACAACCCUACGAAUGUAUGCAACUUGUCAGCAGCUACAAGCUCAGGCUCAAGCUCAUGCUGUGGCAGCUAGUGGCCUUCUUGGUCAUACAGAGCUGCGUUUGCAUAUGCCACCAUCCAUUGCCCUCGCAACCAGAGGGCGACUACAUGGUCUUAGACUCCAGCUUGCACUUCUAGACCGGGAAUUUGAUGACCUUGGUAAGAAUCUUUGAUUUUGCUCUAACACGGGAAAUAAAGAAAAACAAAUUUUGGCAUCCUUUUUUUUUCGCAUUUAAUAUCUGUCGGUUUGUUGGUUAAAACAAUAAGGAGAAAAAUGAACCAAAUGUUUUGUUGCUGUAUUCAGAUUACGAAACUCUGAGGGCACUAGAUGCUGACAAUGUUCCAACAGGUCCUUCAAUGACUGAGGAAGAGAUAAAUGCUCUCCCUGUUCACAAAUAUAAGGUUACUGGCCCUCAAAGGUAAGUCAGUAUGGUCCCUGCCCUCCCUGCCUUCCUAAUCCUGCUUUAUGCACCUUCCUCCCCCCCUCUCCAAAUAAAAAGCACUAGCAUUAAUUGGUCCUGUCCACCUGUGUCAGUGCUGCAUCUUGCAUAACCUACUCCUACAUUCAGAUGAUUAUAAUUAGGAGGGUGCCAAUCAACCUUCUUUUUGUGUGUUUGUAUUGAGCUUGUCUAUCAGCAGCUCAACUUUUGUUUGAAAAAUCACAAAAUAGUUGAUAGCUGCUUCUGCAAGAUAUCCACCUUGCAGGACUGGCAGAACUUUGGUCUAGUUAGCUUGGCAUAUUUAUAUGAAGUCUCAGCCUCUCACUAAGGAGGACGGGGGAUGGGGGUAUCUCUAAGUUUAAACAUUGUUUCCUUAUUUAUUUCCCUAAAUACAUGGAUGACUUGUAUAGUUGCUUUGUGUUUAUCUUGGAAUUAACAUGUCUUGAUUCUGCUUUUCUGGGCAGUGCUGGCUCAUCAGUUCAGCAGGCGGCUUCUUCAUCCUCAGUUGAGGUGGUUUCCUUUCUCCUUUUGCGCAAAUAUCAUAUCAUUCAGAUAGUUCUACCUAUUUUUAAGAUAUGAAAAUUUAUCUUCUCCCCUGUGUAUGCUACCAGAUUUAUUUGCAUCAUGGUCAUAGCUGUAUAUUUUGAACCAUGUAACAUUAUCUUUUGUUUUUAUCAGUCAGAAAACGAGUUCCCUUUUUUAUCAUUAGGUUCGUUCACUUUGAGAGGCUAACAUUGUUUGCCCAAAGUUUGUGUUUCAUUUGGUGAUACAUGGUUUUUGAAUAAUAAGCAUGUAAGUACUCGAAAAUCAAUCAGAUGUUUUUUAUCCACUAUAUUCCUUGUGUACUUUCCAGCAGAAUGUGAAAAAGGUCAAAUCAUUAUUCACCCUAAGGUGAUUUGCUUAGGUAAUAUCUUUUUUCGAUCCUAGAGGCUUUGAUUUCCUCGCAAAAACACAGAGAUGGAUUCUGUAUCCAAGCAUACAAUUUCUCUGGUCGCUUGCAUGAUAUAUGGAAAUUGCUCUGAUGAUCUAUAGAAACUGUAAUAACUUCUCUACUUCACUCACAAGCAGAAGAAGCAAGACCCUCCCAAUGCAGCUGGGGGCACAAAGGCCUGCGAUGAUGAACUGACUUGCAGUGUUUGUUUGGAGCAAGUUGAUGUGGGAGAACUUGUCCGCACUUUGCCAUGCUUGCAUCAGGUUUGUCUUGGUUUUGCAACAACAUUGGAUUCCUCUUCCUUCUUACUAAGUGGAAGUCAUUUUGAAUACAUCAUUUAGAGUUUCUUAUUGUGUUUCUGGUGUUUAACUACUCAAAAAACGACCUGUGCUCUGAACACAGCCUGAUGGGUUACAAUUGCAACUCUGGUACAUUAAGUGUCAUAAUGUCAACUCGAAGAUCUAAAUUUGGUCUUUCUGUGGGAAGACUUAAAUUUGGUCCUUAUUUCAAAAUUGAAGAAAUAUUGAAAGUGAGUAUGCUAGUGCAAUGCUCCAAUGACUAUGAUGUUUCUAGGAUACCAGGAAGAGUAAGUUAUUUGCUGCUCUCUAUUCGGAAUUAACUUCCCCUGCUAGACAAUAUCCUUGACAGAGUAGUUUCCACUGCAACAUGGGUGGAGCUAUGCUUAUAUUCUGUUAGUUCUCAAUACCGUAAAUCCUUGAAAUCAAGCUCAAUACGUUUUGGCAUUUAUAGCUCCUUAAUUUACAAUAGAAAUGGACGCUCAUGAUUUUGAUAAAGAUCUAAGAACUUGCCAUCUAAUGUUUUGGUCUUUUAUGACCUUGAAGCAUAUUUCAAAUUAAGAAUACUUAUUCACAGAGGCAGAUUAUCUCGCGGGUAGGUUGGCCUUGUAAAUGCUAUGCUUAAAAUUCUGGUUUUAACUUUUGCAGUUCCAUGCAAACUGCAUUGAUCCAUGGCUGUGUCAACAAGGAACAUGCCCUGUUUGCAAGUUUCGAGCUGCAUCAGGCUGGCAUCAGAAUGGCCGAGAGGAAGAAAUGGAUGCUUCAUACAUGGUGUAGUCCUUCCUCAGUAACCAUACUAAUAUGUCUUAGCUUACUCAUGCUUUGAAAUUAUAAAUCCGUUUACCAUUAUUGUAAUGAUUUUGGCAUAGCAUGAGAAUAAAUUGCUUUAAAUCACCUUUGAUAACAUCCAAAAUCCGAACACAAUUUCUCAUCCCCAACUUUAUUCGUGACCUACCUAAUGAUAGCUUCGUUGGGUAUACGGCAGAGUUGCACCAAAAAUCAACACUUUGUAGAUGGUUGGUAACAUGAAUCUCCUACACCGGACUAUGUUGGGAGGUUAUGGCAUUCGAUCGAAGAUAAGACAACAAUUGCAAUUUUAAUCAAACUGAGGCCGCGACUGUUUUCACUGAAUCAGUUCACUGCAAUUUUGCAGUACCUAAUCAUAUACGGUAGCAUUCGUUCAUCUGUUCAGUUGAAGCUUCAAUCAUCUUAUACAGUCUGUCCAAACUUUGCAGUUAAAAACACCAAAAAUUCGUCUAAUGAGUGCAUCAGAACUUGUAAACGCAAAACUCACGACAAAACAGCCAAGAAAUUUCAGAAGCUAACCCAUCAUAAAUCACAGGUUACAGUUUUAUAAAUCACCACAGUAGAUCGUCUUCAGAUAUUUUAAAGUUCAAUCUAGGGAAAUAUCUCUGAUUAAUUACUUGCAACUUAAUUGUAAAAAGACAAUUCUAUUUUCCUUUACCCUUUCCCUUGCCUUGACCCUUUUUGGCUUCAAGCUUGGCUUGUAUGCGAGCAGCAGCAGCUGCCUUAGCUUCCUCUCUCCUCUUCUUCUCUUCCUCCUUGGUUGCAGCGGCAACCUCCCUUUGUUUCUUGAGCUCCCUGGUUGUCAAAACAAGCAAAGAGAUAGAAUAAGUCUAAGUCUCAUACUGCACUGACUUAAACGGAAAUGUGAAUGAUUGACAAGAAAUAAAUUACUCCAGCCUAGCCCUUUCAUCCGAAACACUACUCAGACUUGCACCCCUCCUAGGCCUGCACAUCACCAACUCCACCUCAAAGAUGAGUAUCGCACUGCAUUACAUCAUUUGACAACAAUGCAACUUAGUUUUAAACAAGAAUGAGAAAGGUGAUCCAAGAAUAAACAAACUCAAUAAGUGAAACUUCACGAGGUAAACACAAUCACUAGGCAUGCCAUCUAGAUAAAAACGACAGUUCCCAGCAUUAGAUAGUUUGGAAAGUCAAAUCCGGCUAGCAACCCAAAAAUAGAUGUAACAGAUCAUUUCUAGUUAAGUUAAUUGGGAAGUUACAAAGGAUGAUACUUCUCCAGAUAUCACCACUUAAAAAUUCAAUUCGUUUUGCAGUGACGGUCACUAUUUCAUGGAUGCUGGAGACCACAUUUUGGGUAAGUGGUCUUCUUCACUUAACCAGUUCACGCAAGUAGAGGAGCAUAAUGACCCAAAAAGAUUGGAGUAUUUCAAUAAGCCAAUGGAAACCAAAAAGAUAUUUGGCUUCCUUUAUCUUUGACAAACUCAGUGGAACUUGGACUGCUAAUGCUUUGCCUGAUACAUCUAGAACGUUUCACUUCUGUUGUCAAGUGAAAUUAUAAGCUGAACUUAAAAGAGGGGGAAAUUUUUUAGAGAAGGAAACUCUUUUAAUUAGACUAUAUGAUAAAACAAAUGGUGGAAUUGCAAAUAAUAAAAAAUGGAAUGCAAAUAAUAUUUUCUUAAGUAAGAGGUGGCUUCCAUGCCUUUCUAAUUUAAAAAAGUAGUGGUUUCGCUUAUAUAGGAAUUUAGUUUGAAGUUUAUUAGUGAGAGGGUAAAUAAAAAAAAACAUUUCCAAACUUAAUAAAAGUAAAAAAGUAAAUGAUAAUAUUUUAUCUUUUAACUAAGUAAUCCUAAGUAAAAGGGUAAAAUUAAAUAAAAAACAAAAAGAAAUAAUGUCGCGGAUUUAAAAAAUCAAGAAUGGUACCAUUAGUGAAAUCCAAAUUAUAAAAUCACUAAAUAAAAAAUAAAGUACUAUACUAGCCUCCUACAUUAAUUAAUUGUUCAUGCUAGCACAUUAAUUCAUGCAAAAAUUGUGCCUUCUCAUUUAUAAUACGAACUCCAUAAAAUUUAACAAAAAUAAUUAAUCUCCCAAUAUUGGUGUUCGUACUUAGAGUUGAUUGGUGUGAAAAAUGUUCACAACUUCGUAGAAGAUUAUCAAAUCGAAUGCAAAAUGUUUGUAAGUAUUUCAUUUACUUAUCAAAUUACAUAUUCAAUUACAUUUAAUUGGACCCUUAUAGUGCUCGAUUUGUGAUAUACAUUUAUACUUUUUUCAGGAUCCAACUUCCAUCAAAAGUGAUAGUUGUUUAUAAAUAAUAGAGAUGUUUUUAUCAUACUUUGAACUAUUGCUACAAAAUUUUAUUUUUUUAACUAUAUUUUGAUGUGCCCUAAAUGGUACGAGCAAUUACAUAAAUUUUUUACUCUUUUUAAAUUCCUUACUCAAUUAUAAUUUAUUCCAAAAAUACAACUUACUGUGCGUAGCACAGGUGUUUAGACUAGUUCCUGUAAAUUAGUAAUGGCAAUCGCCAGGAGUCGUUUGUGUGCCUAAAAAUAUUUAGACAAAAGAAAGGUUAGGUUUGAAAUCUCAUCUCUUUUGCCGUAAAUAUAAUUAGGCCUAGGUUUACAGGCAUUGAUGGCUUGACCAAAUACUUAGGCCUAGUUUGGAAUGCAUUUUUUGCAAAUUUUUUAAAAAAUAUUUCAUGAGAGUAUUCUUUCUCACAUUUUCCAAUCACUUUGCACUAAUUUCUUUUCAAAAUCUCUCAAAAAAUGCAUUCCAAACAGGCUCUUGCUAUUUUUUAGAGUUUAUAUAGAAAACGUAUUAUAGCAUAGCAAUUUGAUGUAUAUAAAAUAAAAAAUAAUUAAAAAAUAUAUUCACAAAAAAUAAAAAUAUUUCUUUACAAAAACUACAAGCCAAAACAACAAAUACCUUACAAAAAGUCUAAUAACCGCUAUAGCAAUUUUUUUUUUUGCCUUGUACCAUUUCUCCAAUUCAUUUUUUGCCUUGUACCAUUUCUUCAAGUGCAAAAUUUUCAGCCAUGCAGAAGGAUGCAUCGUAGCUGUGCUCUCUACUAUCCAUUAUAUAUAAUAUAUAUAUAUAUAUAUAUAUAUAAUAUAUAUAUAUAUAAAAAGGCAACUCUCAAUUCGAUUUAGCCUUCUCUCACCCACGUUCAUCAAUCAACUCUGCAGGGAAUUUUUAAAUUCAACCCCAUUAUACCCUAAUAAUGCCAUUAAAUAAUUGCUGACACAAUUGUUGAAAAAUGCAUUAAAAUAAUACAGAUCUGCGUCAGCCGAGCACACCGGAUCCACACAUUGCACUGCAGCAAUGUCGUAAUGGAAUCUCUUCUCCUCUCCCCUCUUUUUCACAGAGAAAGAGAAGAGAGGUCGCAAACCACAGGCCGGCCCGGCCCCCGUCGUUUCAGUCAUCAACUGUUACAGAAACUGAAACUACAACUAAGCAAAUAGUAGUUUUGUAGCUUUGAUAAUCACUGUUGAAAGCACAUGCCUGCAAUCAGUAGUACAGUAGGAGCACGAGUAAUACAUAUCAUGGCGAGAGGUUAUAACAAAAUCACAGAAAUCCCAUUACUCGUAAUUAAUUCCAUACAUUCUCUAUCUCAGUAGUUAAUGAUCAUGGACAACAAUAACAGUAGUAACAUCAAGAAGCCAUCUCUCCUUCACUAGGGUCUGGAGAUUGGGUCCAAAAAAAAUUCUAAAAAACUACUAGUGAAAAAGGAUAAGAAGGUAACUAAGAAAAAAAAUCAAGGGAAAAUUUCUUUGGCGGUAUUUACAUGUUGUUCUCAUCAUCUAUGUGACUCUCUCAUGUUCUUUCUUCUUCUUUCUCUUCCUCCUCGGACGCUGGAAAAGCUCAUGACUAGAGUUUAAUUUCUUGACAGCCCAGAAAAAAAAAACCCACGAACAAUCUCGUAGAAAGAAAGAGAAUCAAAGGAGAAAUGCAUUGACCCUCUCUUUUCUGGCCUUCAAGAAUCACUGUAGUCACGCCAGCAAAUGAGCAUAGUUACACAGCGCCUCAUGAUGUAAAAUCUGGCUCUUUGUUCCUUAACCAAACGGGCACAUUUUCUUGUGAAAGCGCAUCUCUUUGUGGUGGAGGGGUUCUUGAUCAAGGAACUGGAGGAACGGCAGCUUCUUGAUGAACUUUCUUUCUUUGAUAGCUUCCACUUCUCAUCGAAGUAGAACUGGGGUGGAGGUGCUGCUACUUGGGUUGGAGCGGCUGUAAUAGAACUAGCCAUUUUUCAGCUUCAACUUUGAUGACGAAAAAAGCAACCUUUGUUUGCCUUGGGAAGACAGCUUUCAACUUUGGAACUUUGGGUCUGCUUUUGGCAAAGAAAUAUGCGUGAACAGUGGGUAUUUGGGUGAUUGGUUUCUAGUGAAUUAUGCAAAGAUGAGUCAGCUGGAGAGGUUCAUCAAGGGCAUGGGUCGAAAAGUGAGAAGCUAGGGCUGCUAUUUAUAACGGGUUUUCAUAGAAGAAAGAAGGCAGGGUUUUGCAGUAUAAGAUAAUGGGUGUGGCAAUGGGUAUCAGUAUCACCUGGGCUUUGUUUUCCUCAAGAGCCCCACACUAUUUAGAUUGUGUAUUUUUUUUAAAAAAAAAAUUAUAAUUACUAAAAUGUUUUUUAAUUCUUUAGGGUGACGUACGAGUAUAUAAAUUAAUUAAUCUGGUAUGGUGCAUUUAUGGACCAUUAUACAUAAAUAACAUGCAUGGUUCCAAAUACACGUCAGGGGGGCGAGCUUGCUUAAGGCAGUGAAACCGAGAGACGCUACUGUACAAAUUAAUGCGCUAUCAAGAAAAUCUCACUAACCUUAUAGCUCUAGAGUGGGUAGGGGGUCCUGUCCACCGUGCAUUGCUCAUAGUGUAGACUUUUAUGAUGCAACAGGAAAAAACGCAGAGCCAAUGAAUUCUGAUGCAGAAUUGAGAUAGAGUCCAAGAUGAUCUACGUGUACAACCAGGAUACGUGGCAUGCCCAUUUCGGAUAAAAGAUAACAUCAUAGGCUCAUAGGAUUGAAGGCAGUGGGCAGAGAAUUGGGGUUUUUGGAAGUUUGAAUUGAAGAAGUCUGAGAAGAAAACCAAUAUGAAGGAUUUACACCCUUUUUCAAGGUGGAUUGCGUAUAUUCACAUGGUACUAAUAAAGCUACUAUUACAUUGCUGUAGACUAAAAUAAGUCAUAUUAAAACUGCUGGUAUUAAAGAUAUUAACCGACGAACAAUUAAUGCAGCUACAGGUUUACUGUGCAAUUGAACCCCCCCCCCCCCCGCCCCCCAAAAAAAGAAAAGAAAAAGAACAGAGCAUAGUACAAUAUUCUUGAUGGGGACAAAAAGAAACAGGACACCUAUAUUAUAAUUUCCCUGGAAAUUUUGGUGGUGGGCUUGUAGAGUUUUUCAUAUUAUCAUCUGGUUGGAAGCUGACAGACGCCCUAUCAUCAAUGCUUCCAUGGCCUCUUUAUCUCUUGCUGUGGCGGACUGGGAAUAGUGCGGUGUAUGAACCACAUGAGUCAGGAAUCAGCAGGAAGAGGCUCUGCAAAAGCAUUUGCAUGGAUAAGCUUCAACAACAGAGGGUCAGGUCCGGGCGGUGUCGUCUACUCCUUCUUACUGCUCACUCCUCAAUUUUAUCUCAGUAAUUUUUUCUAAUACGUUGCAGGUACAUGACAUUCGAACGGAAAUGUACCGCGUACUGACUAGUCACCAAUCAGCGCUGUUUGCAAGCUUAUGAAAGGUGCUACCUUCCAGUCUUCCGCAGCCCAUAUCACCGUACCUUUUUCUUUUUUUUUCUAAAAAACUGGGGGCCAAAAAAAAAAAAAAAAGAAGAAAGGCUGAGGUGAGGUUGGGUGUGGAGCUUAUCAUCCAUACAAUAAUAAUUCUGCGAGAUGUGAGAGGGAUAGGCGAUCUAUAACAACUUCUGUAAAUGAGUUAUAAUUAUUUUUGCUUCACCAGAAAAAUAAAAUAAAAUAAAAUAAUUCUCCGAGGUCGGUAGCUGCCGAAAUAUGCUAUUCUUGCUUUGCUUUGCUUUGAUCAAUCACCAGACGGAGACCCACAAGAUGACUGAUCAGAGGGACGGGAUAAAUUGAUGAUGCAGUUAAUGGAAUUUAUUUUGGCUGCGCAGCAAAUGGACCCGGGGAUGGUUAAUUGGUGAAGUGAAUGAACGCCAAGAUUGCCGAUACAUCAUCAUAUUGGACAGCUCAUGGAGUCCUGUCUAAUCUGUUCAUUUCUGGCUUUGGGGAAUACUUGUUUCAUCUGGACAAGGUAAAAAAAAUUUGAAGGAGAAAUGAAUCACUCCAUAGAACGCUUGUCGAGUUAUCAUUUCAUUUCUGCUAUAUGUGGUACCCGAAGAAUGAGUUUAUUGCCAGGGAAAAGAAAUCAAGAUAAAACAAGCCCAAAAGUGGGGGAUUCUAUUUUCCUACAAGACGCAACAAAUUCUAGUUUGAUAACUUCAUGGUUAAAUUAUUUAACUUAAAUAUGAAACCAGUUCUCCUCAAUGAAAUCAAUCCUCCUCGAUGAAGCUUAAAAUUACACUAAAUCAUCUAUCGGAAUUGGAUUAGUAACUGAAUUUGUUCUUUUGGCAAAUUUGUAUGGCACAGCUGCGAUCCCAAAUAACUUGCAUUCCGCCCUUAAUUAGGCAGAUUUGUACAACUCACACAUCAUUCAUGAGAAGAAGUCUUUGCAGUUGAACAAGUUAUUAAAGGAUCAUGUGCUGGCUUCAGAAACUAAAUGAUUUACUCUUACGAAAUUUUAUUUAAAGGGAUGAACAUAGUUGUGUUUUGAUAAGAGAUUACUAUUUAAAAUAGGAAAAAUCAAACAAAUAGUCCUUCACAUUGGUUUUAUACCUUUUACAUCUCUUAGAUAUGAAAUGAUGAUGAAAAUAAUGGUUUUAUACUUUUUAAGUCCAUUACAUCUCUUAGAUAUGAAAUGAUGAUGAGAUUGUAGUGAUGGUGCUGUCGUCGGCCAUUACCACUUUUGAUCACAAAGUUUUUAUAAAAUUUAACUUCUCACUCAAAUUUUCAUAUAGAAUCUGAUUUUGUUAUUAGCUCCCGACAAAAAUGAAUGAGUACGAGUAAAAAAAAAAAAACUGGCGAAUAUAAUCUGACUUUGACAUUAAUUUUGUGUUUUCUUUUUAAAAUCAUACAGCUAAUAGAGAAAACACUGGCUUUGUUUUUUUCGGAUAUUAGUUGUAGAUUCUGCCUAUCAUUAUUUUUAUUUUUCACUCAUUCUUUUCUGUUCUUUUUUUUUUUUUUUUGCAAAAAACUAAUAUUGAAAUUAGAUUCUACAUCAUAACCUAGACGAGGAGUUGAACUUUUGUGAAAUUUUAUGAUUGGAAAUGGUGGUAGCUAGAACUGUAAGCGAACCGAAACGAACCGAGUAUCUCAUGUUUGAGCUCUGUUCGUUAAGCGAUUCGAACUCCGUUCGUGUUCGUUCGUUAACUUUCGAACUAAGUAAAGUUCAUGUUCGUGUUCGACUCGUUUAACAUAAAUGAGCCGUUCGCGAACACGCUCGAAAAGUUCGAAUCCAGAUUAUUCUAGGCCUUAAAUAUGCCACACAAAUCAUUAAUCAUCCUAAAAAAUAAUUAAAAUACUAAAUGACUAAAUUCCAUUAUUCAAUAACUGCAUAACCAACAUUAACAUAAAAACAUCAAAUAAAACAAAGUAAUUUAUCCUUCAAAUAUAAAAAUUCAGCCAUAAGACAAGUAAAAAUUUUCAGCAGCGGCCAAUGGGGAAGGAAAACAAAAGUAAGGUUGGAAAAGGAAGGGGAAAGUUUUAGAAUUUCUUAUGAGUAACCCUAAAAUUUAUCAAAUGACAAUUAUGUCCUUGUUCCGCGACGAACGCUCGUUAAAAAUUCGCGAACAUGUUCGUGUUCGUUCGAUUAUUAAACGAACACAAAAAUUCGUUUGUAUUCGUUCGUUUAAGGCUUUCGAACGAGCCUUUAACGAACACACCGAGCCGCCGAAACGAACCGAGCUAACGAACAGCUCGGUUCGUUUAACAGCUCUAGUGGUUGCUGACGAUGACACCGUCAUUGUGGUCACAAGCAGCGGUGACUACUGCCAUAUUUUUUACUAGAGAAAUAGGACUUAAAAAAAAAAAAAAGAAAUAUGAGGGAUGUAUUUUCAUUUUUCCUUGCGAUGGAAUUGCCAAAAGUUUGUGAGUCAUUAGUUGCACGUGAUUUUUUUUUUCUUGGCAAGAAUAUAAGUAAAAUUGAGUUGAGGGACUAAAAAUGUACUUUUUUAUUUGUGAGUGACGAAAAAAUCAACAUUUCAUAUGUGAGGGAUAUAAAAGGUACAAAAUCAAUAUGCGAAGGACUAUUUGUGUGAUUUUUCCUCAUUUGAAAUUAUCACUUUAACACCUUUUAUUAUGUGAAGUAUCCAAUAUAUAUAAAAAGAAAAUUAAAAAAUACAAAUUUAAUCUAAAAUUAUAUUUAUAAUAUAAGUACAACAAUAUUUGGGAUAAUUUUACCAUUCAAACACACUCAAUUUGCGACUCCACCUACUUUCUCGAUAACUUGAAUCUGGAAUCUAUUGAGUGAAGGCAUGAAGCUGCUUUACCAACUUAUUAAUUGUCUAAGACGUUGUCCAUCAGAUAAUUAACCUGGAUUUCGUUAUUCGAAAUUAAAAAAAAAUGCAUGUUUUAAUUAGAUUCGAGUGUAACACUAACAGAGGGUUUUCUAGGACGCUAGUUUCACCACAACCAAGCCGCGAGUCCUCUUGACUGGUUGAGCCCAAGAGUUCUCCGUGAUUUGUGGCAGGGAAGGGAGCCUCGUCAACGUACAAUUACCACACAAUAACAAUACAGUGCUACAGUCUCGUCGAGAAUAGAUGCCAUUCUCUGACGCCGCCCAAGCGUGCUUCGCCGGUUGCACACGUGUCCGUCAGCACUGGGUAAGAGUUUGGUCUCUGGUCAGUCGGACCGAAAGUCUUGCGGGCUCUUUCUUCCUUGGUCAACGCCACGUUUCCUGCAAUAAUCUGACAUUCGAUAGUAGUAGUUGCAUUGUAUUCGAUAAUUCUAGUCGCAUUACGAAUUAUUGUAAAGCACAAAAUUAUUCAAUAAUCCCAAGGUUCGCGCGGCUAAAUGAAUAAUUUUCCUCAUUCCAGACCGCCUCUUGAUUUUCUCCCAAGCACGUGUGGGGUGUCGAAUGGAUCUGCAGUACUAGUAUGUCUUAUGGUCAUUGCCUUCCCUGGUUACAACUUACAAGGCGCAUUAUACCAAUGGUCCCAUGAAGUAGUAAUUUUUUCCCCUCUGUUUGGCCUUUCUGAUUUCUUUUUUCCACUAGAAAACCAUUUUUGGUACUCAAUACUCAAUAAGACAGUAGUUUUUUGGUAGGAAUAAUACUCUCUAAUUUUCUUGUUCGACGUGAAUCUUGAGCAUCCUGCGUGGAUUGGAUACUUACUCCAUUUUAUUAGCAAUUAUUUAACUUGAAGUCGCAAAAUGAACCCAACAAUAUAUAGUUGUUUUGGAAAUCUAAGUGAGCUUCCGAUUCAUCAGAUUGAGACAAAUUAAAGACAAUUCAGUCAAGAGUACGUGGUUAGAUAGAUACUGAAUAAUCAUGAGCUCUGCCCAGGCGGCAUAAACACUUUCUGGUGCUGUUUUGUGCAACCGAACAGUGCAGAAAGGAACAGCUUCCACAAACCACGCGAUGUCCACAGAAUCGGGUGCAUGAACUUCAAAAAAUACCCCUCAUACAUUCUUCCCAUUUUUUCUCUUCCUUUUAAAAAGAUAGAUGGUCUUCUCCAGUGGUUAAUUCGUUGACUUCCCAUCCAAAGUAUCAGAGUCGUAGUUGAAACUGCCCAAUUGCAUUUUGUCCUUUCUUGAUACAUGCAUCCAUCUUUUAAAGCGUGAUAUUGUUCCACAAUUUCUUGAUACGUGCUUGUCGAGGUGGUUUCUUAUUCUUAUAUAUAGGGCAAUAGAGUUAUCGAGCUGCUUCGUUUCUUUGCCCAGUUUCUCAAUGCCGUCAUGAAGUCACGUUUUACUUUGUUAUUCUUUUACUAUUUAACUGGAGUCUCUGGAGCUUGUUCGAACUACAUCUUCUGCAUAGUUCGUUCACUACAAAAUUCCAGGCAGUGAUAAUUAAAGGCUAACAUUGAUUGAGUUAAUCAUUUGUUUGAUUCUCUGAUGGAUGUGUGCUUGCUUGAGCCACUUUGUAGUUUACCCUCUCAAAGAGAGCAAUUGAUCAUUUUCGAUUAAUUUUGUAUGGAACUCAAAAGUCGUACCACAUGCUACCAUGUGGGCAUCAUCGAUCAUGCUCUAGACUUUUCGAUUGGCGGCGUUAUGCACAAGUUAGAAAUGAUAAAAAAAAAAAUAAUAUUCCGGUAAUAAUACGACAAUUUGAGUCGUACUAAAGCGAAACACUGAAAAUCCUUAGGUUGACACAUGCAUGAUAUUGAUAUAAUCUCAUCCCCCGGCUUUAUUCUAAAUCUUAAAGUUAUUGGUAUUCAUGUCUACCAAGAUAUAUAACAAAAAGGAAAAAAAAAAAAAAGAAUAAAUCUGUCGAGAGUACAAUACAAGUUACGAGAUCAUCUAUUGGUACAAUGCAACACUCGAUAUUGAAUUAGUAUUUCGUUAUAUAUAUAUAUAUAUAUAUAGUAUUGGAGUCGUGGUAUGGUCUUUCUGUUCAAUAUCAUUCGAUGGUUUGAUUCAGUGAAAAGAAGAUAGUAACGAAAAGGUGCUUAGUAAGGCCAGUCCGAGUUAAAAUGGCCAUGCACCAUUUGAAUAAGGUUAAAACCAUGAUCAACUUCUCAUCACCACCUAAUUGAACAAGUGCAAACCUGAAAGACCAUCAUCUGUUUGAACCUAAUGAACUUGCUCCAUCAGACAUACGCUAGCUCUUUUCCGGCAGGCAGGUUUAUUAAUUUCGAUGGACACUUGUAGUUUUAUUCCGCCAACUUUGUGACACAUAUACGUACAUAUUUGAGCAACAGUAUCAUUCGUUCGUAUUUAGAUUUCUAGCGGCAAACUCCGUAUGAGUGCAUGUGAGUUUGACAUUCGUACAACCUCUAUUAAACUAUGUCUCCAACUUCAUAGACUACCAACUCUAUAUAUUACUACUAGCUACUACUUUGGUUAAACGGCCGGGCGUGGUCAAUUAAGGGGAGACAUCAGGGUUCGGUUAUCCCGAUAAAUUUGUUUCAUAUGAUUAAUACAUCCAUUUCAAGAAUUCUUGUCCGUAUUAUACUGGCAAAGCCUUUGGCUCAAGGCAAUGAUAAGAUAAGAUGAUGAAUAAUCAAUAUACUACUACCUAUGCCCGAUAGUUUUGACUACUUUAGGAAGCCAAGUCUUUUUCUUUUUUUUUCCUAUUACGUGCUAUGUUUCAAUGAAUAUAGAUACUGAAAUGGGUUAUAAUUCAUUGCGUUUUAACCCUAAGAAGUGGGCAAUAAAAUGCUUUAUUUCAUCUUGGGAUUAAUUGUAUCGUGUUAUGCCAGAUCGUCUUCAGAUUUGAGCAGGACCAUAUACACCAAAACCUUUUGUGUUGUCGCUGAUGCUACUGUAUGAUCUACUUCCUCAAUCGCUUUUGAUAAUCAAAAUUUUUCUGGUGCGAAUUGGUAGGCAGGACAACCAACUUUCGGCGUGGAACUUUCAGCUGUGAAUCCACUAGGUCGACAUUUUCUUGCUACAUCAAGCAUUUAAACAAAGAAGAAGAAGAUGACUAGGCCAGUGUUACCAACGAAAAAAUCAGGAAAGCCCAGAUUAAUGUUUCAGCCCAAUCAGGGAAGUGUUACCAAAGCGAUGAAUGUAGGCAUACAGGAAACAGCCCACCUACUUCGUCCCACUAGGGGGCUGCAUACAAUUAGUCUGUGGCCCAGUCCGAGAUACUCCUUCGUGCUUAGUAAAAAAAAAAAAAAAAAAAAAAAAAAAAAAGGCAUGGGAAGACAGGAGUAUUUCGGUUUCGAUCGGAUUCCUACGCACUGAAUUCUUUUUGUUUUCUUUAGUCCGCCUAAGGAUUCAAAGCUCUUACUUUUUCAUUAAAAAACAAUAUCAUUUUUAAGGAUCACACUAAGAGUCAGAGAUCAAAAUUCCCUGUCAAAUCCACAACAUACCCCACUCUUCCAAAAGAAAUUCGAAGAAUUUUCCAGAUUUUACCUUUCAAAUGUUCGAAACUCAGUCCGUCAAGCAAUUAGGACAACAGUUGCUAGAUAUUUAAUGCGACAAAUGUUUGAUUCGAUUUGUUUUGACCCAAUCCACAAAAAGUAAUAAUGAUAUCAUAUUUAAUUUUUGUAAAAAAAAAAAGAAAGGAAACGAUGCAGUUCUAUUCCGCUUGUGACUUGUGAGGGGAGAGCAGCAGAGCCUUUACCCAUCUCUUUACAAGUGAGUUCCUCUUCCUGUCAUGAAUUUUUGCAGGUGAGUUCGUACCUUUUCUAUCCUCAGUCCUAACUCUAAUAUUUCUUGGGUCAACAAAAUGUCAGCGUAGAGAGAAGAGGGGAAAAAAAAAAAGAGAAAGAAACGGAAGCACAACCACUUAGCUAGUCUUUCGAAAAGUGAUAUAAUCAGAUAAAACCAAACCAAGAAGAAAACAAAAGGUGGGUGAACAAAUCUCUCAACCAAUUGGUAAUUGUCCAACCUUGAAAAAACAGUCUCUGUAUCACACAGAGAGGAGAUGGACGUAUUACAACGUAAACAGACGCAAGCUUUCCUGAGGAAAUUUGGAUAGCUGCAUUGGCUUCUGGUAGUGGAUAGAAUCAAAGCCAAAGAUAGAAACCACCAAAAAUACAGAAAUUAUCAUGCAGUAAAUUCGUCUCAAAUCAAGUGCCACUUUAUGAUUUUGUCCGCUUCAGGCCACUGCUAUCUUUUCGACGUUCCCUUGCCUGCUGCUACAUCACUGUCGACUGUCGAUCAUAAUGGAAGAUAUAUAUAUAUAUAUAAUCAUAAGUACCAUGUGAUAUCAUCACCAUAAUGGAAGAUAUAUAUAUAUAUACACACAAAAUUAACAUGGGAUCGAGAAUAUGAUAUCAUCAAGCCCAGGAGAAGGAAAUCGGGUUGUUGCAAGAUUUGUUCUCUGGGACCAUGCAACUUCAAAGAGGAUUUUCCUACAAAUCACAUGCUUUCAAAAUGGAAUUAAUUGAAACGGAAAUUUCUUAAACCUGCCUGCUAUGCAAGAAUGUCCUCUGACUCAAAAAAUUGGAAAAUGUGGAAUUUAGCCAAAAAGAGAUCCAUAAAUUCUCUUCAAGUUUAAAGUCAAGAGGAAGAGGAGGAAAUAUACCCUAUCACGGGCUAGUGCAAAAAAGCACUCAACCCGUUAACAGGAUGAUUACAACGACUAGGUAAAUAGUGCAAGUGUACGACAGAAACACCCGCAAAAAGUGCAGGUACGUGCAAACAUCCGUUUAUACUGCGCGAGUUUAUGCUGAGAUUUCAGGAUUUUGUAACUGAACAUUAGCCCCUACUCCGGUUCAUCGUUUCUUUUUUUUUUUUUUUCUGCCUUUCCAUGCUAAACAGGUACAAACAUAAUCAUGCAAAGGUUGCACACCGAAUAUCGAAAUUCGACAACAAUGUUCACUGGCUACCUAUUUCUCCGAUUGAUACUUCGCAGGACUCAAUUUUGAAGGCCCCAAAAAAAAGACAGACAGAUAUAUCUGAUAGUGAGGAGUUCAACAGGAAAAACAAAUUAGCGAAAGUUAGCACCAAAAGAAAAGAAAAGUGCAACAGCCCCAAAAAGGAAAAAAAAAACAAGAAGAAGAAGAAGAAUGGGAACUUUCAAGUAUGAGGGAUUUUUUUUCAAGCAUGAGCGAUACUUCAUCAAAAUAAUUAUAUAGCUGCAAACGGGGAAAGUACUCCGGCGGACAUUCAAGAUCAAUCGUUUGUUGGGAGGGGGAGGUUCCUGAAACUUUGUUGGGCAAAAUCCCCAGGAAGCAAAAGCAUAGAUGACAAGUAUAAAGUAUAAACAUACCUACUACGUCCGUGUAGUUGUAUGAUCAACAAGAUUAGAAAGAGGGCAACCAAGGAAAAAGGAGAUCGGAACAUUUCUGAAUUAAGAAAAGUUUAAACCAAGGCAUUAGAACCCAAACUACAUAUACGUUACCCCCACAUGGUCGGCUAAGAUUGCUUUGGUGAGAUCCAAAACAACCCUAAUUGUCCAUAUUAUGUCAGGCACUUCUGCUUAAAUAGGCCUUGGUUGCACACUGAUACUCGAUUGUUGAUGUUGAAAACUUUGUACAUAGGAAAGGCAAAUGAAAAGCAGCACAUACGCGCAUAUAUAGAUAUAUUUAUCUAUAGCCAUUCAUUGCUGCUGCAGCAUCAUCAAGAUUCCCGAAAGCAACGAGUUCUUGGAGUCAAAGGGAAGGACCAAAUCAUAAUCAUGAUUACAUUCCCCAAUCACCACUCCAAAGAAACCCUAGUAAAGGUUCGUGAAUCUUGAUGAUGCUCCACCCGCAAAAACUGACUGGGUCAUAUUCAGAUCUUAUGAAUCCUCAUCACCUUCAUCAAUACAUGCAAUACAGGAAAAGGGGCACCAAACGAAACCUACAGAAAACCCUAAUCAUGACUGAAGCACAUCCCCAGUUGAAAAAGAAAACGGGGAAAAAGGGAUGUGAAUUCAAAGCUUCAACCUCCUUGAAUACAAAGAGAUCUAGUUUGUAGGAAAGCUAUUUGGAGGAGGUACUCUAGCUUGUAAAGCUAUAAACUUUUACAAUCAAAAUACGGAAAAGAAGGUCUACAGCUGAUGAACUAAUUAAAGAUUAAGUUGAAGAAGGGAAGAGAAGGAAUAAAGCUUAUGGGUCAGGGGUGUUGAGAUGGUGACUAUUUAUAGAGUAGAUCAGGAGGAGAUAUUAGGAUUUGUUGGGUGUCAAUAGAUUUGUGAGGAGAGAGAUAAAGAGAGUACAUCACAACAGUUAGCCAUCGCAAUCCUAGGAACCAAAAUAUAUCUGUAUCUUUAAUACUUACUGACUCUGAACAAUUCCAAAGAUGUCAUGGGAGAGUAAAAGCAUCUGACUGAAAAUGAAAGGAAAAUGAGAGAACCAAUUAGCUAGUAAUGGUGCCAUUCAGGUUUGGAGAUUUGUUACGUCCUCUACAAGCAUUUUCAGGUUGGGAGAAUUGAUGGGAUUGAAAUGAUAUCAUGAUAUCGUUUGUCAUCUGAUCUCGUAGGUUUUGGAAGGUUACGUGUUUUAGUUUCUCAUUUUUUUACCACCUCCGUCAUUUAUGACUUUUCAUUUUCGAUGGAACCCUAUGAAGUAAGUGGGCUUAAAUGGAUCUUGAUCGAGUAUUAUGGUAGAUGAAUCUAACCUUUUUCCCCCCUUUUCUCUUGCCUGCUAUUACCUAAAGCUGUUAUGUCUUCCUCAUUUUGUAGAUAAUCUGAAGCCCUUCAAUCCUCUAAAUUACAAGAUCGAUUUUGCGACCGAAGUAGAAUUAUUAAUUUGCUUUGCCCUUUUUUGGUUGUCCUAUAUUUUUCGCUUGGCAUGCACUAAACCAAGUGUACAGCGAGAGUAGUUUCAAAUGUGAGCAACGAAAGAAUAGACAGAAAAAAUCCGAUUUCCCCAUUGAUCAGACUUGUAGAAAUUUGUUCACAGAAGUGCUCAUCUUAUGUUUUGGGUUUAAAUCUCUGGACUAAUACGAAGAGAUAUUUUGUACCAGUCCGGCAAGUCAAACGUUUUAUAGCUUAAAUUUUUGUGAGAUGAGGCAAGUCAAACGUUGUGAGACAAGUAAUUGCCAGUACUCUUUUAGUUUUGCUACUUGGUCUACUGAAAUUUUCGCACCUUAGAAUUGGUUGAUAUUUUAUGUUAACGAACUAAUACAAAUCCUUGAAAGCGAUUGCCAGUGAGACUAUCUGGUCUUGUUCCUUGUCUCUUAGGUAGCUGCUUGUUUUCUUGCCAGAUUUCAGAAAUUGACUUUUUAUCUUCUUUUUUUUUUUUUUUUAAACGCAGUCCCUGAGUCUUAAAAAUAUUUGUCCUGACAAAUUGAAAAACAAAGAAAAAUAAAAGAUGAAACUGAAAAAAAAAAAAAAACCUUUAUGUGUAUCGCAAUAAUCAGUUCGAAGCUACAAAUAUUUUAAGAGCACCGAUUGUGUUCUACGAGCACAGCUUCCUUUCUUUCCGGAAUUUUUUAUUAUAUAUUAAGAUUCAAUAAAAGAAAUUAUACAUAUUGAUUCCCAUAGAAAUAAUUAGCUAGGGCUCAUAAUUAGCAUCUCCAAACGUUAGGCUUCUUUAACUAAGCUACAAUCUAACGCAUCCAAUAGGAAACAUUUCAAUUACUGCUGGAUCUAAAGGCCAGCUAAACAUUUCAAUUACUUUCGGGCAGUUGUACAUGCACAAGUCUUAUGUGUUGAUGAUUCCUCCUUAUGCAAUUAGCACAAAUGACAUGGCUGUCGCAAUAGAACCCUUCAUGAUUUGAGCCUAUUCAUGAUCAGACCAUUUGUAACCAAAUUCAUAGGAUUGUGGAUGCGUUGAACAAGGUGGAUAUUUGUUUCUAAUUCAAACUGAAUUGUCAUGUACGAGUGAAUACCACUCGAUAGCAACAUUUAUUUUUCUUUUUAUGGUUUUCAUAGCCGUACGUGCUAAUAAUUUCUAGUAUGAACUCUUAUAAUAUCUCCACCUUUCCGUACCAGGAUGAUUUGCAUGUAUUUUUUUUUUUAAAACAAUCCUAUCAGCUUUUAACAAAAUCUUUUGCAGGUUUAACGUGCAUCAGCUUCUACAUCUAUCAUGGUGUCCUAAAUUUUUCAUUCUAUCAGAUUUUGAGCAGAAAACUUUCUUCUAACUUGGUCUCUCACACAUAUAUUCUUGCGCAUAAUUCUCAUACUCGGUGACUUGACUCUAGCUACAUUUGUGGAUGUAUAAAACGUGAGCAAUAAAAGCUAGUGUAUUUAGUUUUGCUCUUCUCCAGCUAGUAUUAUUUCCUCAUUCAUGGGUAACAGUUGCGAUAAUAAGGUACUUUUUUAAAUACGAAAAAUUAGGGUUAUUAUCACUUUAUCCCCUUAAACUAUAUCACUACUAUCGGUUUAUCCCCUAAUAUUAUCUUUUAGUCACUUCAUCCCCUUAAGCAAUUCAACUCAAAGUGUUAAGAAAUUUUGGACAAAAAUAACCUUUUAUUCUAUAGCAUUACUACAUUGUUAUUAAUAAUUUAUCCCUUUAAAUUAUAGUGAUAUAAUCGCUUUGAUUUCUAACAUUAUUUUCUAGACAUUUUACUUCACCAUUAAUCUAACUAGUAUGGUCAAAAAUUUUUAAAUAUAUUUACCCUUUUAUAUAUAAUUAAAAAUAAAAAAUUUGGAAUGGUUAUUCUUCCUUUUUUUCACUUUAAGAGAUCCAAAAAUAUAAAAAUAAAGGAUUUUUGUCACACUUAUUAAUACUAAGAAAAGAAAAAGAGAUAAGAUAGAAGAAGACAGAAAAUUAGAUUUUGCAAAGAAAAAAUAAAGAAGAGUCUAACAUUAUCAUAUUAUUUUAAGGUUGUUAGGAUUAGGAUUGGAAUUUAAUCGUAAACAAAAAAGUGAAAUAAUUUUAAAAUAAUAAAAGUAUUUAAUUCUUUCUUAUUUGUAUUUAUUUUAAAAAAAAAGAAUCGAGCUCUCUCUCUCUUUCUCCCUCACUCUCCCCAUCUUUUUAUUUUUUUUAAUAUUAAUGAGAUUGUCAAGAAGAAAGAGAUUAAUUUUUUUGACUUUUUUUCUUGAUAUUAAAAAAGAGAAGAGCCGCUCUAAAUUUUUUAUUAUUUUUAUUAUACAAAGAGGAGGGAAUUUUCUUCUAAAAUUUUUUUAACUUGCUAUGUUGGUAUAAUGGGGGGAUAAAUUGUCUAAAAAUAAAUUUAUGGGGUAAAUUGAUAAUGAGAUUAUAGUUUAUGGGGGUAAAGUGAUAAUAACUUUAAGUGCUAAAAGACCAUUAGUUUUGGAUGUAAGGUGACUAAAAGAUAACGUUAAAGAGUAAAUUAAUAGUGACACCAAACGUUAACGGAGUAAAUGACAAUAACCCGAAAAAUUAUGACCCUAGUUUACCUUCAUCACUUAAAAAGAUGGAAAGUGUUGAUUCAAAGUUGCAAAUAUCUUGUUCCAUACUAAAACAUCUUGAAGUUUCAUCAUAUUGGCCGAUUAGAGUAUGCUUCUCUGAGAGAGGGGACAAAACAUGACCAGGGUAACAACUCUAGAUCUUGAACCUUUUUAUAUAAAAUAUAAAAUUCUAAAAUUCUAAUUUUUCCUAUCUAUUCUUACUGACACAUAUCUUCCACAAUUGUUACUCCAUUUCUCUUAAAUCUGUAGAGGGAGUGAAUCAUUUAUGGCACGUCAUUGACUAGGUCAAGCCACAUAUCCUGGGAACGGCUCAGUUGUAUCGGUGUAGCUUAGGCACUUCUUACGCAUUGACCAAGUUUGGCCUCCUGAUCAAGAGUGGUGCUCUUAGGUUGUUGCCAUUUUUUCCGGCUGAUAUCCACACCUUAUCGUAACUGUUGAACUAAUAAGCCAUGGAUUUUCAUACUAGUUUCCAUCACAAUCAAACACCAAAAGAUGAAUGGCUGAUGUCAAAUAAUGAUUUUUUUUUUUUUAUCUUUUACGACAAGAACAUCAUUAAACUUGUCGAAGAGUUUGGCAGCUUAGAUUGUUUUGCUAGAGUGAUCUCCAACACUCAAUAAAUAAUUUCGUUAAUCAUGUAUGCCUCCAACCCUCACUUGUUUGUUAGCAUUAACACAACCCCAGGAUAUGAAUUACGAAUGUGAUUAUUACAAUUGCUGUGGAUUAGCAAAGGUUGCGUGUUUGUUUGCAAAAAUGUCAAGACCGACCCACCAACCAACCUCUUGGGCCAGCCAAAGAAAAAAAGAGGGAUAUUUAUAUGAGACACGGUAUGUUUAACCAAAUUAAUUGAUUGGACUCAAAUUAACAGAGGGUCCGGGGAGUAAGGCGGUGUAGUGGCUCUGGGGACAUUCACUGAUUUACCUCCGCUUUCUCUCUCUCUCUCUUUUAUGCUCGUACGGAGCACAGUUUUUAAAAGUUAUACUACAAUUGAUUUGACCACCCUCUUCCUCUUGGAUGAGCAUUUCCACCAGGCGUCGGUGGUUUCCCUGAUUUCCUGGACGCCCGUUUUAGCUUGCCUGUAUUUCUGCCUAGGCUAAUGCGUAGAAGUGUUUGGUUAGUUCAGAGCUUCUACAACGUCCACUCUGGAUUUACGCCUUUACUAGUUCUUUGCGGAAUGAAGCAAUGGAAUGGCUCACUGAUCAACUUAUCGUACUCUAACUAUUUGUUCCAAAUAUGUAGGUGAUGUUCGGAUUGUCAAUUUUUGCCCAAAAAUUUUUGAAAAUAUUUUUUCAAUCAUUUUUUUUAUCUUACAUAUAAUAAAUUAUUAUUGCAUAUUUUUUUCUGAAGGAUUUAUUGUUUAUUUUUCAAUUAAAAUUUUAAAAAAUAGCAAUUCAAACGCAACCUUACUUUCCACUAUGUUAUGCAACUAAAAGGGUAAAUGAAGAAAUCGUCAGCUUAAGCUCCAAUCUCUUUUGUUUUUUUUCCCAAGAAUCAUAUAGUUUAAUAGGUAUGAAACUUCUUCUAGAAGAGAUAAAUGGUAAUAUUUGCUUCUUCUUCUUCAUUUUUUUUUUUUUUUUGGUAGAGGGGAGGUUUUGAACUCGUAACCUCUUACUUACUACAUUUCUUUUUUCCUAACCAUCCAACCCAUCUGUCCCUGCUUUUCUUCUUCUUUAUUGAAUGAACAAAAAAAAGAUAAAGUAUAGAGCCUUGGUUUGGUGAAGGAUAACAAAAUAAUUCAUUUUUUUUUUUGUAAAUCAAUAACAAAGUAAUUUAAGCAAUAGUGACCAGAAACAGAAACUUUCCUGCACCAACUAAUACCAAAAAGAUCUGUUUUGGCACCUUUGUUUGGAUAGGGUAUUAUUUGAAAUAUUAGUUGGAAUAAUUACUGUAGCACUUUUUGUGAUGUGAUGUAUGUGAGAUAAAAAGGUAGUUGGAAAUAUAAAAAAGUGGAUUGAAAAAUGUAUUUAUGAUGCAAGCCAAAUAUUAUUUGGGAUAAGCGAAAUAUUUUAGUAAGACAUUAUUGAUAGAAAUAUUCUAUCACGCGUUAGGCUUUACGGCCCGGGAAGCUGAAUUUUUUAAAAAGGUCUUUUGAAACAAAACAAUUAGUAGUAAGUUUAAGGUUCACUUUGUAAUGAGGUUUGGGAUCGUCAAGUAAUACAGCUUCUCCACAAACAAGGAAGUGGGAAUAUAUCAGUGAAAGACAAGUGUUACGAGUACAACAUUGCAACAAGAAAGCCAAUGCUCGUCCCAGGAUUUUAUGAUUAUAUUUCAGUGGAAAUCUGAGAAAUUUCAACAUCAAAAGAACCCGUACAUUUGUAUUUCAAAUCGCACUUGUCUUACCUUUUGAAUCUUAAUAAUGAAUCAAAUGCCUUUUAGUGGUCAGGUCCAUUAAAAAUCUUCCCCUACGCUAUCAUCACAUGCCACCCAGACUCAAUUGUUUACAGCUGACAGUUGAUCCUCAUCAGAAAGACAACAAAUAGCAUCUGAGAGUCUAUCAGUUUCAGGUGAAAAUAAUAGGAAACAAAUUGUUAUGCAGAUAUGCUUACUUCUUGAUUUGCUGGAGCUCUUCUUUACACGCCAGUGUGGGCUACUUGCUGAUCUUCCCAUGGCCUACAACAUUUCCUCUCUAUCGCCAAAUUUCAAGCUCUCGACAGUUUCUUUCUUUUUUUUUUUUUUGGAGCUUUGUCAAUUGUAUAUAUAUGCACUUUGCCAUCCCCAAAUUUCGACCUCAUUUACCAGCUACGUACUAUUUCUAUGCUGGAUUGUUUUAGAUCUCGUUUGAUAACUUAAUUCAACACUUAAAUUUAAUGGAUUCAAAUCUUAACAUAUUCAGACGCAUUUGAUAACCAAAAAUUAAACAUCUGAAUUAAUUAAAUGACACUGAAUUUCUUAAGCAAAACUUGCUUCCAAAAAUAUGUGAUAAGCUACUCACUUAUCACUGAAUGUAAUAUACACUCAAACGUAUUACAUUUAAUACUUAACAAUUUAAGUAACUUAAUGGAUUCAAACUUCAAAUUUCAGUUUUAUCAAAUGCACCCUUAGUCUCUGUUAAGGUUUUAAGCUCUUGUAAAAUUGAUGGUGGAUAGGUAUUCACUACUUAGCGAUGCAUGAAGCAUCCUUCUCAAAAUCAGGAAUAGGAAUCAAUAAAACUAUCAUCGCUAGCUUAGCAUUUCCUAAAACUAUUAAAUUGGCCUUGUUUGAUUUGCAAAGUGAACAAGAUAAUUACAAUUUACAAGAAACAAGAAACAAAUUACGGUUUGACUACUUUAUUCUGAUCUCCUAGUUUUAUACAUCUUUAGGCAAUUUAUUCAGUUGAUUAUUCUUGUCGCAUAAUCAAAAUAAUUCCUUCAAACACCAAGAAAAAAAUAGCAAAAAAAAAAAAUGAAAUCAAAUUUAGCUCGUACCUUCGUGGACGAACCGAAGGAAGACGGAAACCCUAAUGUACCUCGAGUUGCUUGGUUUUUCGCAAGCUAAGUAAUUGAUCUGAUUCAUCAAACUCGAGCCCAGAAAUUCCGCUGAUGGAUUGAAGAGGACAGGACAUCCUACUAUAUAUUGGACAAUAUCACGAUGCAGCACCGCACAAGUUAGAGAUUGCUUUCUUCAUUUGGAAACUCACCAGUCCUCAGCCUGUACGUGUCUAUGGCCCUCUUUCAACACAUGCCACCAAAGAGUAACUGCCUCGUACACUUUUUCUGCCUCCUAUUUCUUGACCUUGUUCAAUUUCCCUUUUUUGUCAAACUUUAUUGCUUGUUGAAUCCCGUGCAAGUGCAACCAUAUCUUUGUCUUCUGUCUUUCAGAUUUUAAUACCAGUCGAAUGGCGUGGUACAAAUGAGACGCUAGUGUCGUUGCUCGUUAUUAAUGUCUGGUUGAACUAUUUUCGACCUGACUCCCUUCAUCUUGAAUGAAGCCAUGUCAUGCUAACAUGAUUUUGGUUUUUUUUCGUUCCUUAUGUUGAUCCCCCCCCCCCCCUACAUGGUGGAACACUCUUUAAUAUUAUUAUGUUUUAAAGUAAAUUGGGACCUGGCUAAUAUAGCAUAUGUUGAUACAAUGGGACGGCUAUUGCAUCCGGAAUUAGGAACCCUUUUUAUCCCCAUGGAAGUGAAGGGAGUCGAUCUCUGGGAACAAGAACUUUAAAAGAUCAACUUGUUUUUUAGAGGCCGCGAGCAGCGAAAUUGAAUAAUGAUAAUGAAGAAUAUUUAGGUAGUCGUGUAUGCCACAAAUUUAUGAAUCGCAUCAUGAUCACAUAUCGAGAGAUGAGAAAAGGCCGGCUUUAGGUGCGGGAAUCUGAGGAAGAGUUGGUACUCGACACUAUCUGUGGGGUUCAUAUUCAAAAGGUAAACUAUGUGCUUCUCUGUGGAAUUGCUAUUUUCGGUUUUAUUGACGCACAUCUUAUUGUUCAUCAGACUUGAGAAAGCAAACAUGGUGUAACAAUUCAUUUUUUGUGCAUGCAUUCAUUAGUCUCUGUAUAAGCAACAAGGCCUUAAUUGUCUUUACCAAUAAACAUUCAUGGAGUGACAUGACGUUCAUGAUCAAUUUCAUGAACAAAUUAUAUGAAUUGCUGAGAUCUUUUGCAGUACGCAAUUAAAGUACUUUGAAACACAAGUCGACGUUUUGAAUGAAGUCUAAUUCAAUGUAAUUUUCUUAGACAACAUGGGUUUUUUUUUUUUUUUUGCCUUGAGAGAAUGUAGGCAAUUCUCUCUUGUUUUACGUGUUGUACAUGAUGAAGCCUAUAUUUUGCCUGUAUUUGACUUCAAACAUUCCCAUUUUCACAGUAUAACUUCUUCUCCAUAUUGAUCAAGGUCUACUGGCUUGCACUCUCAUUUACUAUUGCAUAAGCAACGCUUACUGAUUUGCUCUUAAGGACGACUGUCUAACUUGAAUAGUGGAAGACUGGAAGUGGACUGUCUUAAUAUACGAGAGAAAUGUCAAUGGAAUCGCUUCUUCUUUGAUUUUUGUCGUACUGAAGACUUGAUGUUGGAUAAUUCUAGCUUAAAAUAGCGCACAACUCCAACAGAUUUUUUGUUUCUUUUGUUACGCUAGUUUAAACAGAUUUUAAGAGUCAAAUUCUAAAUAUGUAUAUGAGUUGCAACGAAGGAUGAUUGCCGCUGGGCUUGAGACCGUGAGGUGAUCGUACCAUAUCGGUGACUGCCAUCACAUGCAUAAAGAUGCGGGAGUUUGGCAAUGAUGGCAUUUGUGGGAUGCGAAGAAGGGGAUUGAUGGUUUGAUAUCUCUCCCGUUCAACCUUUGUUUAGUUCCGUCAAGUUGUACAAAAUAACACAAUUUUGUUGUAAUCCGGAGUUUUGCAUACAUUGAGCACAAAAUUUGUGUUUAUUAGUAUUUUUAGCACACCCUAAGUGGGUGCUUAAUUCAAGAAAACGUAUGAUUAUUUUUUUCAUACUAAGUUACAUAUCAUGACAGACAUAUAUGUAUUUAUCUAAAAAAAAAAAAUCUAAAGUUCCUACUUUAGAGGAAGUUAUUGUAUUUAAAAUCAUAGUGGAGAAAAAAAUAGGGAUGUAAACGAGUUAGUGCGAUGAAGCGAUUGUGACAAAUUUUUUUUAACAAUAUAUUGGUAUCAGUUUACCCUUAUAAUUAAAGGUAAAUUAGAAAUUUUAAAAGUGAUACCGUAUGUUUACACCACGCACCGUUACACUAUAUAUACUAUUAUCCAAGGCACACAUUAAUAUAUGUACAACUAGUAAGAAAAAUGUUUGUCAAAUUUGUGGAGUACACAUAUAGAAAUUUUACCAAAAUAAAAAGUAUAAAAAAUAGUUAUUUGGUAGUAAUUCAAAACCAUAAUUGGUAGUUACCAAUGAAAAUUAAGAUUUAUUAAAUAAGUUGAAAGUUAAAAUAAAAAAUAUAUAUUACUUGAUAGAAAUUAUAUUAAUGGUGGAUAAGUGCAUCAAGCGUAGUUUGGACACGCACCCACUCGGCGAAUUUUAGAUCUGUUACGUAAUUGGACAAAAUUAGAAUUGGAGAGGCCCAUUUCUGAUGGUUCGUUGGUUAGCUACUCAGCUUUUGCGCGCUUUAAGCCUUGAACGCUUGAAUUCGCUCUCACGAACAAAACGUCCCUUCCUAAGGAUCUCUCUUAUGAUUUCUAGUUCCAUCUGACGCGACUGACACCAACAAAUUGUCUACAUAUCCUAUCAAUCACUGGAGUCGGCAUAGUGACAUCAAACCUUAACAUGUGUAAAUAAUUUUUGUGAAUUUUUAUGGCCCAUAUCACAUGUGCUUUAAAUUUUUUGGGCCACUGCAUAUUCUCGAUAUGUCGAUUAGGUGCAGAAGACCCCACACACCAUUCAAGUGGGACAAUUGUCAUACGCUUUCUUAUGGAUCACAUACAGCACCAAAGCCUAGAUAAGUUCGUUCAAUUGGUAAAAUCGAAUAAUUUUCUAAAAAAAUAGCUCGUGUGUGUUUAAAUUUUGUUAUCGACACGAGAGCUAUAUUAAUAAAUAAUUUGUAAAAAUUUUUAUAAGCAACUUAUAAUUUCAGAGUCAUGCACUAAUCCGUGAUGGUGAUCGAGUCGAACUCAUCCAAACUUUUUAUUAUAAAAAUAAAAAUGAAAAACAGCACCACAUGGUUUCGUCACAUAUGUUGCAUUUUAUGUUGAACCAAUCUAUGCACAUAGUUUAGCUAAAGAUUUUGCCAAAAGAAAUGAGUUGGGUGGAGGAAUCGUGAGAAACUAAGCUCCGUAGAUUCUAUACUCUUUUUUUUUCCUUUUUUUGACAAUACAUUUGCAUGGGCACGAGAAAAGAAGAGCAACGAUUUCUGGUCUGUCCAUUUUAGCACCACGGGGCAAUCAAAUUUUGUCCUUGCUAUAAUUUGUGCCAUGGACCUGAGUUUGAGAUCCGAUCAUCCAGCCUGGAGUUGGACUGUCGAGUCCACCUACCCCAGCUUAGGCCAUAUCAGUCAAUUUUAAUGGGCUUGUCUCUGCAUGAAAUGGGGCUGUUUUGUUGCGCAAAUUCUUGCUCACAUGUGCAGAGAAGAGUCUCCGUUCGGUAACGGUUCACUUCAUUCAUUUACCCAUUUGAUUUUGAGACCCAACGAAAAAGAAAUUAUCCUUCCGCAGGUAUCCUCGGGACUGGUUCUUUAUUACUCCCUCCAUCCCACUUUGAUAGUCCCGUAUUCCUUUUUUAUCUGUCCCAAAUUGUAGUCCACUUUCCAAUUAAAUAAUGUUGUUAUAUUUUAAUUUUUCUAAAAUACUCUUAUUCAAUGUAAGUAGUUGUUAGUAUAAACUUACCCCAUUUAAUGAGAGUUGAUUCUUUUUUUACCAUCAAUUUAAGUUCCCAUAAAAUUGUACCAUAUUUAAUGUGAGGGUAUUUUAGGAAAAUAGCAAUCUAAAUUUACUUUUCUAACAAAAUUAAUUAUUUUUUCUUAAACUGUGUGAAAAAAGAAAUAAUACUAUCAAAGUGGAACGGAGGGAGUACAAAUUUGUAGAUGUAGAUUCGGCAUUCACUUUUUGCAUUGCAUUUACAUUGUGUUUCAGAAAACGGCCUUCUUUGGAUUGUUAAUUUUGCUCACAAAAAGAAAUUUUUUGGUGAAUAUUCAUUUUACAUAUUUUUAAUUUUUUUUACCUCACAUCUCAUAAAAAGUGCUACAGCAAGUUUUUUCCAAAAAACUUGCCGAAGGUGCAAUCCAAACAACCUCUCGUUUACAAAACAGGUCAUAGUUUUCUAAGAAGAAAAAGAUUAUAUACUUGUAAUUUAUGAAUUAUGAUAUCGCCUGGAAAACAUGGUUUUUUAUUUGGAAAAUAAAUUUUUUUACUACAUCAUAUACAUGCUUCCAAUUAUCUUUCAAUCUCAUUUGCAUACAUUACAAAAAUAUAUAUAUAUAUAUAUAUAUAUAUUAUGAAAUUAUUUUAAAAGUUUUCCCAAAUAAUUUUCUAUCUCUAUAAUAAUUAGCUUUUGUUUGGAUACACCAUUUUCUUUAUAAAAAAAUAUUUUGCUUGUAUCAUAAAUGCUUUUCUGAAUCUCUAUUUUAUUUUCUCAAUUAACCUUUUUUAUUUUACACACAUCAUAUUACAAAAUAUAUUACAAUAAUAUUUCAAAAAAAAUUAUAAAUAAUCGUCUUUGUAAACACACAAGUAUCUUGAACUCGUUUAGUCGAUGAUUGCAAUCUAGGAUCUGUCUGGGUGGCCCUUUUUUGCUUGUUUAAAAAAAAAAAAUUGAUUCAAACACUGUCUACAGUAAAUAUCAAAGACCCGUACGGUUUCGAAAGCAUUAAAAAAUACAUUAAAUACGAAAUCGGUAGCAGAGGCGAGUACAAUGGUGAGUGGCAAAAAUUCGCGAUGGUGGUUGACAGGUGCUGGAGGGCGGAGAACAGUGUUCUUGGUAUUUUCAACAAAUAUCAAUAUAUUAAAAAAAAAUAAGUACAUUUGUAGUAAUAUUUUAGAUAAAUACUCAGAAGAAGAAACAGACUACUCGAGCAGAGUCUGUAGAAAUAUUGAACAGCCUGAAACUACUGGUCCAUGCUCGAACUCCAGAAAAAUCAUAUACCAAAAUGCUUUUUAUAGAAAACGAGGCUGACAUCUCAGAGGCAGUAUGAUUACUAAAUCCUUCGGCUUGUGGGUAGGGACGCUAAUAAGUCGUCGCUCAUAAAGAAAAUUCCAAAAAAUUAAGAAAACAACACCGCUAAGGAAAAACUCAGGUCAAUUCAGAAGCAGCAAUGGUUAGACUGAGUGCAGAAGGGACCAGCCAGCAUAGAAGGCCUACCGAAUAAUUUGGUGUUCUAUAGCAAAUACUGGGAAGCAUGACCACUGUUACAAAGCUUGACAGCUGAAUUCCGAGUCUUUGCAUUUACUUGCGAAAAGCUUGACAUGGGCAAGUGUUAAACGGCAAAGAGGAUGCUUAAUCUGACUACUUUUCGACUCUGAUGGGGCAACAAUAGUCCUCUAGCUAGGGAACUCAUUAUUGAUGAACAUCUAGCUUACCUCUCCCAAAGGAAAGCCCGGAAGAAGGGCAGGAACGGUUGGAUCCUGCGACCAAUUCCUAAAAGCUCACGGCCAAGAUUUAGUUAAAAAAAAAUAUAAAAUUCAUAUUUUAUCUUAUAUUUGAUUUUUCACACCAUGUAUGGGAUUCUAAAAUUUUAUUCUAUAAUUGCAUAUUAUUAAACAUGAGUUAUGUCGUGUGCGGAUAGCGUUACACCGUGUGCAUUUUGUACAAAACCGCAUCCGAAUGAUUUUCCUGGUUACCGUUCCGCCCUUGUCCUCACCUUCAUUCAAUGCAGAGGCUGAAAACAACAACCAGAAAUUUUAGCAACAGAGACUGACUACUUCUGCUCUGAGCAUCCACCACAAGCCUAGAAGCCUCUGUUAUUUGAAGUAUUAUCUUACAGGGGCACCUUUGAAAGUAGUUCUUACUUUUUCAUCCAAAAAGAAUCUACAAAAACUGUUAGCAUUAAGCGCAUCAAUGGAGCCAAUGCUUCUAUAAUUUGUGUUUAUUAAUCCUUUCUUUUAAUUUUAAUUUUUUGGGUAAUUCCCUUCUUUUAAUUUGAUCUUCUCGUGGACUUUGUUCUAGCUAACAAAAAGUAUUGAACUUCUUGUUCCACGGCUCUGGCAGGUAGUGAAGCAAAAAUUGCCGGAAUGCAUCAUUUCCCCUGUUGACCGCAAGGGAGAACCUGCAAACCAUGUCAUAGUUAAAAGGGAAAAAAAAAAAAAAAAAAAAAGCCCAAAACAGAGAACCGGGUGAACGGUGGGAGGCUGUGUUUAAUAGAAGGCUUUAACAGUUCAACGUUGACAAUAAUGUUAGUUCCUCAUAUUUGUAAAACCAUCCACAAAUAAAUUAGAAAAUUACAGAAGCCACAAACAUAGAUGACCCAAAAAAGUAACUUGGAUCAGGAAAAGGAAAAACUAAUCCUAAAUCCUAACUCCUACGGCCUAACCAACUUCAGCAGUAAUGUUCUGCAACAUUAGUACUAAUAUACAAAAAGUAAGAUGAGCAACAAACAAUUAAUAGCAGGCGCUAUCAGGUCUCCUUUCAAAACAAGACUGGAUUUCGACAUAAGGUUCCCUUGUCGACAUCAUUUUAAAUAGAAGAUCAAGGUCGGGAUGCUGGAAAUACCCAUCCUUGGGCUUCUGGGGCAUGCUCCUCUGCUGCUGCUUCUGCUUCUUCGUGUAAACUCGUUUCCUUUUUGGGGCUGGCGGACACUCCGCCGCCACCACCGGAAUCCUGGACCCCUCGUGCGUCGGUGUCCUAUAGCCUUCCUCCACCUCCUCCUCCCCCAUCAUCAUCCCACAAUGAUCAUAUCCGCCACCGACCUCCAUGUUCAAAAUGUCAUUCAAUCCUCUCGGCUAACCAACAAAGAUGCUCAGCUGCUAGUAUGCAAAGUUGCAAACGAAACAAAAUGGAUAGAUAUGAACCGGGUCAGGGUCUCACUCUAUAUAUACAGAGACCAAAAUUUAGGUGGCAGUAAUGGUUGGCAAUAUACGGCCUAUGGCUUCUUGCGGAAGCUGUCAAGCUUAACUGCUAAGUGUAAUUCUUUGCAUAACACAUUUUGACUCAUCCAAUCUUUUGGUGGAAGCAACUCGUGACUUCGUCCUACUGGGCUUCCACGUGGCACAAAAAAGCUACAGCCUUUCUUUGGGCACCAAGUGGCAAGUGCAGUGACCCGUUUCGCUUGCAUGGCAGUGGUUGCAAAUUUGCGGAUAAGGUGUCGGUGUAGUUGUGUUUUGUAAAGUUCUGCUCAAUUUAUUAAUCGUGUUCAAAUUUUUUAUGUGUGUAUAUAUAUAUAUAUAAAUAUUGUACUAAAUACAUGUUAAGUAUUUUAUUUUUAUACAUCAUUUUUUACUAAAAAUAUAACAAUGUAAUAUGAUUAUAUACCAAAUAAUAUAUAAAGUAUAACAAUUAGACUGAUUCCUUUCCCCAUAUUUGCAAUAUUUGCACGGAAAGCAAGGAUCAAUUUCAUUUUUGUUUGGAUAGAUGUUUAUUUGGAUUAUUUAUUUGAGAUAAUUACUGUAGUACUUUUUGUGAUGUGAUGUAUGCGAAAUAAAAAAAGUAAUUGUAAAGAUAAAAAGAUGAUUAGAAUUUGUGAAGCAAAUUAUUUUAUCUCAAAUCACCUCAAUCCAAACACAUUCAUUGUGUAAUUACACCACGGUAGAACAAGAUAAAGGGUCAAGUUAGUGAAAGGUUUAAAAGAAGUUGAGGGAUGAUUGACACCAUAAAGCAUAAGGUUUGUUUGGAUUGCAACUUUUUGAAGUUUUUGUAGAAAAUGUAUGUAACAAUUUGACAUAUUUGAGAUAAAAAGAUAAUUGAAAAAUAUGUUUACGAAAACGAAUAGAUUUUUUUGAUAAAAAGAGAUUUUUUGAUAACUUUUCUUUUAAAAAAAAAAUUUACUCCAUUCAAGAGAAUUCUAACUUCUUGUUGAUGAAUGUCUUUGUAUCUUGUAAAUAAGUUAUGAGCCAUGUUGAUUGAUUUAUUUAAUGCACUAAAAAAGUUAACUAUAAUGGACACACCUUUUCAUUUCCCCGAGAGCCAAAAUAGAAAAAAUGCGAUUUUAAUCAACAUGAUCAACUACUAAUAAAGUGCUCCUGUAAGUUAUUUUAUUGCAUUAAUUUGUUACGUCUUGUUUGGAAAGAGAUUUUUCAUUAAUAAAAUAUCUAUAUUUUUUUAUAAACAUAUAUUUUUAAUUAUAUUUUUACUUCAUACAUAUCAAAUCAAUAUAGUAUAUUUUUUUAUAAAAAUAUCAAAAAAUUUACAAUUCAAACACAACCUUAUGCUUAGUUUUGGAGUUUAUGAAGGAAGAGAAAAGAAAAGAAAAGAUAGCUUAGGAAAGAAAGGAAGAGAAGGGAAAAGAUGCAUAUUCCGUUUGGGAGUUUAAUGAAAGAAAAGAAAAGAAAUAUCUUUCUCUUAUUUGAGAGUUGGAGAGAAAUGGAUAGAAAGGAUUUUAUGAGAAUACAAUUUUACAUAUUUACCCUUUCAAUUUGUAAAUCAAAGUCCAAAAAAUAGCUUUCUUGUUCCUAUAAAUAGAAUAUUUGAACAAGAUAAAUUUCUAAAACAAUUGUAUUUGCAUUCCCACAAGGUGAAUAAUAAAACAAAUUUCUUGCUAGACUUCGAUUCUCUUGCAUGCAUGUAAAUCGCCUCAAGUCCUUGUAGUAUCUUUUAGGUAUUCUUGACAUAUGAUUUUUGAUAUUGGUCGGAAAUGCCUAAUAGAUUAUCUAUUUAACAUAAAUUAAAUAUUUUUUAAAAAAGAAAUAUCCCAUAAAGUACUAGCUCUUUAUGGUUUUUCUCUAUUACAUGAGUCAAGUACCAGGUUUUUAUGGAUAUUUUAUUUUGAAUAAUUUAAUUUAUGUUAAAUACAUAAAUAUUUGCAAAUAAAAUUCAAAAGCCGUUACACAAAUAUUUUUACGAAAGGAAAACUAGCAUGUUUUGUAUUUAAUAUAAAUGAAGUAUUUGAAAGUAAAAAAAAUUUGUCCAUAACAUACCAGUUCUUUACGAGUUUCUUUCAUUAGAUGAAUAAAAUACUAGCUAUUUAUGAGCAUUUUACUUUGAAUCAUUUAAUUUAUAUUAAAUACAUAAAUUUAAUUAAGUCAAGUUCAAAAAGUGUUACACUAAUAUUAUUACGAAAUGAAAACUAGUAGGUUUUAUAUUUAACAUAAAUUAAAUACGUGAAAGUAAAAAAAAAAAAAAAUUACCCAUAACAUAUCAGCUCUUUAUGGAUUUUUUCUAUUACACGAAAUACCUUUUGUUUGGUGAAUUAAAGAAAUACCAUUUGUUUGGUGAAUUAUGAAUGAAAAACAGAAGAAAGCCAAGUUUUCUCAACUUGCUGGAAGUAUUGAAAGUACAGGACACAUGACCGAGAAAGCUUUGCGGUGCUUUUAUAGAAAUCAAUUUUAGGAUAUAUUGGGAAUAAUAAAUUUUUGUAUCAGCUUUUAAAGGGCAAACUUGACAUAUUAAAAAUGUUUUUUGGAGCCCAAUAAGUUUCCAUCCUUUUCUUCCCACUUUUGGGCGGAAACAUUUUCAAUAAUUGGAGGGAGACUUUUAUCCAUUCAUUUCACUUUUCUUCUGUCUUGUUAAACUCCCAAAUGAAAGAAAUGACCGUUCUUUCUCUUUGAAUACUUUUUUUUCUGUCAUUUUCUCCCUAUCCAAAUGAAGCCUUAGGAGGGAUCCAAUUUAACGAGUAGGAACCUUACUUAGGUAAUCAUCAAGUUUUUAAACAAGGGAGAGAUAAAAGGGGGAAUAAAAACCGUGCAGGGGAGCCGUAUUGUUGGGGGAGGGCAAACGACAAAAGACAAGAAAGGCGUAAGGCUCAAGACGAAGCGCGCGAAGGUGCACGGAAGCGGUGGCUCGAAUCUGAACCUCUCGCUUAGACUUUAGACUUUAUAGAGUGGGGACUGGGGAGGGGAUUUGCUUUUAGGCUUUUAGCGAGCUCGAUCAAUUUGAUGAAAAGGAUAAGACUUUAUUCGUCGCCUUAAGCUGAUAUAAUAAAUAAUUAUUCUCUUUGAUGGGGCCGGACCAACAAACAAGUAAUGGGCUAAUGGGCCAGGCUAAGGGCUAUAGAUGGUAACACGUGUAAGAAGAAGGGCUGAUAACGUCGUUUUCGUGUGGACUCAGGACUGUGCCUACUUUUGGAGGAUGCUACCCCGCGUGGUGUUACGAAGUGACUCGAAAGUUUGGACUUUUGGCACCACGGCGACUCGAAGGGUGAAGAAGCUGAAGAGGGGCGCGCGUUCAUUUCCAUUUUCCACCUUGCCUUUCGAGUUUAUCUUCGUCCUGAUAUGACGUGAUUGCUCGGGAGGCCUUUUUGGUUGAACUGGAUUCUUCUUCUACUUUUCUUUAUGAUGAUGGGGUGGAGAAACAUUUUACAGAUGGUCUAAACAUUUUACAAUAUAUGAUAUACAUUUUCUUUCGUAUUAUAUGAUAUACAUUUUACAAUAGAUGUUCAUAAGAGUAUAUUUCCAUCCUGGGAAUUCUAGUCUUGACAAUUGGUUGAGCCUUUUCGGUUAGCUUUUCUAAUUUUUGGAAAAUUGGCUUAAUUUUCCAAAAAUGAUCUUCGCACAUCGGAAUGAGAACUGACUGUCAUGUACAUGAAAUUGUAUUUUGAAUAAUUACUAACUACCAGUCUUUGGGCUGUUGGCCACCACUAAGCCAUUCAAAUUUACCUUCAAUCAAUUGUCAUAUUAAGUGGCUUCUUGAAAAAAAUUCAGACAGAUGCGUAGUGUAUCCGUUUGGUCCGGUGGUGGUUCAAUCCCCAUCGACCCCCGUAGACCCAGUUGGAUCUCCUCCUUAGAUUAUAUAAUAGUGUAGGAUACUAUAAAUAAAGUGACAAUUGACACAAAAAAAAUUACGUGUAUUUUAUGAAUUUUCUUUCGUAUUAUAUGAUAUACAUUUUACAAUAGAUGUUCAUAAGAGUAUAUUUCCAUCCUGGGAAUUCUAGUCUUGACAAUUGGUUGAGCCUUUUCGGUUAGCUUUUCUAAUUUUUGGAAAAUUGGCUUAAUUUUCCAAAAAUGAUCUUCGCACAUCGGAAUGAGAACUGACUGUCAUGUACAUGAAAUUGUAUUUUGAAUAAUUACUAACUACCAGUCUUUGGGCUGUUGGCCACCACUAAGCCAUUCAAAUUUACCUUCAAUCAAUUGUCAUAUUAAGUGGCUUCUUGAAAAAAAUUCAGACAGAUGCGUAGUGUAUCCGUUUGGUCCGGUGGUGGUUUAAUCCCCAUCGACCCCCGUAGACCCAGUUGGAUCUCCUCCUUAGAUUAUAUAAUAGUGUAGGAUACUAUAAAUAAAGUGACAAUUGACACAAAAAAAAUUAUUAAAAUGUGAUAUAUGUAAGAUAAAAAAAUGGUUGAUAAAAUUUUAAGAAAUUAAUUAAGAAUUACGUUUGUUGUGCAAAUAAAAUAUUAUUUGAAAUAGAAUUUCCAUCCAAACACAGGCAUAUAAUUUUUCUCCGGGAACUCCCAAAGAAACAGACCAAACGGGCUUGGUAAUGCUUUCAACAAGUGGCCGAAUUCGCACUACUGGGCCAAGGAUCGUUUCCUUUUUGGUCUACCGGAUUGUUUUGGCAACUGAUUAAACUUUGUGAUAUUGGACCGGCCCUGGUUUGCUGAAGGAAGUCAUUAGUCAACAAAGAUUUGUUGGAAAGAUAGAAGACCAUUGAAAACAAAGCAUGUCAAGAGUAAAUACUUAAUUUAAAUAGUAAAAGGUUGUUAAUACUAGUAAAUACUUGUAUUAUACUACAACAUUUAACCCUUUAUGCACACAUCAAAUGUUCUCUAUCAAAAAUAUGAAAUCUCAAUUUGAUGAAAUUAUUCUAUUUUAAGAAAGCAAUUGCUUGAGAAAUAAACUUUUCGACAUAGGAUCAACACUUAUUAAAUCAACUCAUAAUAAAGUUUAGGAUCUAUUUUGAUUUUUUUCCAAAAUAAUUUAGGAAGUGUGUUUGGAUAGUAGAUUAUUUGAAAUAUUUUUUUAAAAAAAUAUUGUAUCACUUUUUAAAUAAAAUAUAUGUAAGAUAAAAGAUGGUUGAAAGAUGUGUUUUGCUCCAUCCAGUGAUAAUGGCAGGUAAGUUGACUUGUGGUUUGGAAAUGAAUUGAUGAGUUCAAUCAGAAAGGCCAACUAGUUCACGUAUUGGUCAAAAUUUCUAAUACGUGAGUAAACAUUUUCUAUUGCAAAACAAGAUCAUUUAGUAUUUUGCACUAAAAUAUACUAGAUUGUUUAGUGAAAAUUUGUACUGCAACAAAAGUGAUGGUUUUGUGCAAGCAUAAACAAAUAAAAUGGGAUUGAUGCAAGUUAUAAAUACCUUUAGUUUAAAUAUCACAAUUUAUCUGUAUCCUCAAACUUCUUUUUUUGUUAUUUAUUUCUCAGGUCAAUGAGAUUGCUUAUAAAGUUAUUGAAAUAAAAAAAUUAUAUUAAAUUCGAUUAAAAAAUAAAUCAACAUUAGAGUUUAUUUCUCACUGCAAUGAAAUUGCUUAUAAAGUUAUUGAAAUAAACAAAUUAUAUUUAAAUUGGGUUAAAAAAUAAAAUCAACGUUAGAGGUAACUCAUGCAAUUGGUUGCACAUUGAUCUUUAAAAAAAAAAAAAAAAAAUUUCUCUGCGUUUGAGAUUGUAGUAAACGUUCUUCCAUUCUAUGCUUCAAAAAAAAAAAAAAAAAAACUUCCAUUCUAAUUUCACGCUUCAUGCAAAGUGCUAUUGCAUGUGCCACAAGAAUUUAUGCAAAAACGUAAACGUUAAAUAACUCGAAUUUAUUAAUUCACCAUUAUAGUUCUAGAAUUCUACUCCUGUCCAUCCGAUUUAAAAAAUGUGUAUUUCGAUUAGAGUUCUAGAAAUUUACUCCAGUCCAUAUUUUAAUAAGAAAUUAUUUACACAAAUUUAUCUGUUUACAUUAUAAAUAUAUUUUUAAUUUUUUUUAAUAUUAUAUAUAUUAUGUCAAAAAAUAUUUUUAAAAAAAUUAUUCCAAAUAAUCUUCAAUCCGGAGGCGUUCCAAUGUAACUUAGCCGGUUCAAUUAAACUGGUAAACUUGGAGGAGGGAUGGACGCAGAGCUGAACCGGUCCGCCCUCACCAGGUAGACGCUAGGAAAGCCGCUUCAUGAAAAAAGGUUCUUCUUUCUCUGCAAUAAAACCUCUUCACCAUUUGCAGUUGAGGUGGGAAAGUAACUAGGGUUCACCCGCCACAUCUACAGUAAAUACCACCAAAAAAGAAAAGGAAAGAAAAAUGCCAUUCAUAUCGAAGAUAGAGAGGCAGACGGAUUACACCCAGUUCGAUUCAACUGUCCCCAUCGUCAUCGACAAUGGCGGUUCAUAUUUCCGCAUUGGGUAACAAAAGCCCUAAUUCUUUGGUUCGCUUAGAUUAAUUUGCGUUGUGAAGUUGUGUUUUGAUAAAAUUACCGAUAAAUUACAUCCUUCAAUUAUGAUUUGGUCUGGUGAUAGCUGGGCAGGGGAGGAUGAGCCUCGGGUUAUAUUCCGGAACAUUGUUCAGAGGCCUCGCCAUAAAACCACUGGUAUCUCUUGAUAUACAUAUAUUCACAUAUAUUUGUAAUUUUCACUAGUGUAAUUUUUCGGCAUUAUGCCAAUGUUAAUCUCCCUGCCUCUGAAGUUGGAUUUGAACUGAAUAUACCAUUGUGCUAGAUUUUUCCCCCAUCUUCUUCUUCUUCUUGGUUUUUUUUUUUAAUUUGAGCAUGACAUGAAUGAUGGAAAACUUUUUUUAACGGUAGGCUAGAUAUCUCUUUUAUAUACUCGUUCAACAUAAGCAAAAAUUUAUGGGUCAUGUGCAUACCAAACUUCUUUUACCAAAGUUUUGAUUUUUGAUUAAGAUGAACGAGCUUCAAAUGUCUUCCACCCUCAAUUUUUGGUGAUCUCCUGUAAUUGAAUUCUUUCAGUUUUAUUUUUAUUAUUAUUAUUCCUGUAAUUGCACGAGGGCGCAGUAUAUCUGCUUCUUUGUUUUUGCUGGAGCACUAGAUUGAGUGUAAUUAAUACAGUCAAAUGAUUUAUGUAUUUACAUUUGUGGUCUUUCCUGUUCCACUCAACCUAUAAUUUAUGAUCUGAAUGGAAAGAACAAAACCUCUGCAUUCACAUGUUUUAGAUUGCAGAGAUUUUGGACUCAUGGGUUCAAAAUGGUAGCUUCACAUGUUUGAAUCUACACGUAGUUCCGAACUUCUACUUCUUUAUAAUUUGAUUUUACAUCAAUUAAAAGUUUUUUCUGCAUUCUUUCUAAUGCAGGUGAAACAGUCACAGUUGUUGGUGAUCAUAACCCAGCGCUACUAAGAUAUUUUGAUUGCACACGUUCAGGACCUCGUUCGGCUUUUGAUGGCAAUGUCGUGUAUCAGUUUGAGAUAAUGGAAUAUGUAAGUUUCAUUAAUUUUGAGUAGUAAAUGGGUUUCAAGUUACCUUGCUGAAACUUUUCACUCUAUAUUCUCCAAUGAAUACUCUUUACUGUAGAAUGGUGAUCAACUUGUUUCAUAAUUCUAAUAGGAUAGAAAGCACGCCCUCUGUGUCCAUAUGCGUCACACAGUUAGCAGUUACUUUCACCCUGUCAAUAAUGAGAUACUAAAAGUCGGUACUUUGUUAGACUCCUAAGAAGCAUGUGUUAUGUGUUACAUAUUAAUAACUUGCUUUCUCAAUCUGCAUCACAAAACUUACAUCUGUCAUUUUGUAGAAAUUUUCUCAGUGAAUUACCAUCUUGAUUUUAUGAGUGUUUACUAGCCAUAUACCAAUCUUUGGAGUUUGUUAAGCAUACAAAAGCCCCAAAUCAUUCUAGCCUCUUACUGCUUUAUAUAAUAUUACCUGAGGUCAUAUAAGCAGUAUGUUUGAUAUUCAAGCAGUUUCCUCUGAAAUCCACCUUACUCUUUAUACAAGUCUGAACUGACUAAUUAAUGCCUAAACGCUUAGCUUCAGUUAUAGCAAUUGUACAUCUUACAAAAUGUAAAGUUUAACAGAACAAAGAAAGUCUGAUUGGGGGCUGUAGAUGAAUGUAGAAUAAGGCAGAAUACAUGAUACAUAAUGUAAUUUUCCUUUUAUUUUUCAGCUUUUCGUUAAUCCAAAUUUUUGGAUAUUUUAAUAUGUUCCAUCAAGUUAUCUUCAACAUGUUUGUAUGAUGCUAUUUUGCAUUGAUUGGAAACUGAAACAUCUUUGUUUCUUACAUCUCCUUUAUGUUCACAGAUCAAGUUGCUGAGUUGUGUGUUUUUUCUUGUAUGUAUAGAUUCUUGACUUCGGUUUUGAUCGAUUAGGUGCUGAUCAGUCGCAGGUACUGCUACAUCACCUUUCAAUUCUUUACUCAGCUAUAUCAAAGUUAUUUUUGGUGUGAUCUGAUGUAAAAUGCAAUGCGAGGUUUAUCAAUUCGGAAGCUGCUGGUUUUUCUUACUGUCGUCAUAUUUUAUGUGAUUAUUCAGUUUUGCUUGCAAAGCUAUUUAUGUUGUAGCGUGAAUAGAUAGUAGCUUUAUUCUUGGAGAUCUGUUUGUCAUUGCGUUCAUCCCCCCUAGUUUUACUUAUUAAACUUUUGUGACAUUUCGUACAGACCAAAUGUUUCGUGUUGAUUUUUUGCGUGUCAAAAGUCAACUGUUCAUAUAAGCAGUUGAGAUUCCGAUUUGCACUUUAUAUAUAACUGAGGUAAAUACUGUGGGCUCAAAGCAUUGAAUGUCUUCAUUGAUCUCUUUAAAGAACUUACAAGCUUUCUUUGCAAGUUCAAGCAGGCAAUGUUUGACAUCCCAAAAAUUCUGUGGUUUAGAAUAAGCUUUUUAUGUCAAUUUGAUUCAUUUCUUCAUGUUUAUUUUUGUGCAGCUUAUACAUGUCUGACUUCAUUUAUGUUGUUUGCAAUAUUUAUCACUUCAUAUUUGAUUCCUGAAUUUCUUGAUUUUAGAUAUCAGCAUUGGUAAUAUUCAUGUAGUUGAUUUGAUGGCAGAACAGAUUGACCAUCCUGUUUUGAUCACUGAGUGUGCUUGCAAUCCUAUCCAGUCUCGUUGUAGAAUGGCAGAACUUCUUUUUGAGUCUUAUGGAGUUCCUUCAAUAGGUAUGCUUGCCAAUUGUUAGUUAACUGAAGCUUCUGCUUGUUUGGGCAAAUAUUUUAGUUUGACUAUGAAACAGGGAUGCAAACCCUUAAUAUUAUUGUCAACUGCAUGUUUUAUCUUUUUAUGGAUGUAGCAUGAUUGACACACCAUGGUCACAGCAUAUUGUACUUGUAUUUCUCAUUUUAUAUGGUCUGAUGCCAUGAGUGCUUGGACUGUUGCUAUUUUAAUGUAUCACUUACUUUUUACUUUCCCUUUAGCAGCAUUUGGUGUCGAUGCCGCAUUCAGCUACAAGUACAACCAACAACUUGGAAUAUGUAAUAGUGAUGGUCUUGCAAUUUGCUCAGGAUUUAUGACUAGUCAUGCUAUUCCGGUAUGCUUCACUUGUUUUUAUUGAAGUUCAUAGUGAUUUUGUGGAUAAUUCCAAUUACAUGGAGCAUUGAGUACAGAAACAUAACCAUCACAAAUCUCAACUAUGCGUCACUGCCACAAUUCUUUUGCUGUUCCAUUAAAGGUUAGGUUAGUUUAUUCUGAAGUUCAGUGCCAUACCAAGUCACUAUCUUGAUCUGGUGCCACUGAGACUACUAUUGGUAUUAAGUAUGAAAAGACCUACAUGGAAUAAAUUAUGUUCUUCUGGAAGAAACAUGUUGUGCAUGUAGGGUACACCCAUGCUUAAUAAUUUCAUGAAUUUUGCCAUUAAUUUUUGUAGAUCAACACAAAUAUGCUUUGCCUAUGACCUAUUAAAGAAUUAGUUAUCUAUCUGUAUUUGCCGAAGUUUUGUUGGAUAUGCACAACCUGUAGGCCUGUCCUACAAACCAGCCAAACACCUAAGCUUGAGCUUGGCAUCAUGGAUUCAGCCAAGUACAGCAUCAGGUAGUUCACAUGUUGCUCAUAGGUGGAUGCUGAAAUUUUACUUUUAGUGGGCAACCUAUAAUUGACUUGUGAUAAAUAUUCUCAAACUCUACGGGGGCAAUACUUUAGUUUUGUAAAGGAGUAGUUUGAAGAAUUCCAAAUUUUCAAGGGGUGGAAAGGUAAUAUCUUGGAUAAGUAGGGUGGUGGUCCUCCCCUACACCCCUGCAACCAAAGGUCUGGGAUGGAUUGCUCGAGAUUAUUUGUGGUGCAAGGUUUGCAGAGUUUGGUGUUUGGCAUAUGUAGUGCCUUGAAUAUAAUAUUUUAGCCCAGGAUUGCUUAUAACCAGCUUAAGAUGCUUCUUUAAGGCUCAAGCUAGAAGAAGAUGAAUCACUGAGCUAUGAACCAAAUUGAGCAGCAUCCUUCUCACUGGGGACUAGGAAUGUUUGACAGCUGAGCAAUGGUUUACUGCGGGGAAUUAUGAAGCCAGAAUAACAAAGUGAAACAUUAACACCUGCAUGUAAUACCAGUUAAUGUAUUCAGUCUCUGAUACUUAUCCUAGUGUUAUAUGAAGUACUGCACCUUAACAACUUGCGAUGGUCUACAAUGUAUAUGUGUAAGUUUGAAUUCUUAUCCAUUUUUCCUAUCACAGUUCAUAAAUGGAGAACCUGCUUACGAAGCAUGUUGCCGAACUAAUGUUGGUGGAUACCAUGUUACCGAUUAUCUGAAGCAGCUUCUCUCACUUAAAUAUCCCCAUCACAUGUAAGCUUGAGAAUGCCGAUCCCUCUGUAAAUGCAAUUGAAACUUUUCUUCAUUUGUUUUUUAGUCUUGAUCGCUUAUUUUUUUCAAACAGUUCUAAGCUCACAUGGGAAAAAGUUGAAGACCUUAAGAUGGAACACUGUUACAUUGCACCAGAUUAUACAUCAGAAGUCCGAAUAUUUAAGGUAGUGUAGUUUGGUCUUUUUGACUUGUCUGCAACUACUCUGCUUUGCUUUGCAAUCAUCUAAGCAAUUCUUGUAACAGAAAGGGGCUAAAGAAGCUGAAGAAAAGACCAGGUGCUGGCAGCUUCCUUGGACUCCAGCACCAGUGGAAGAACAACCUUCAGAAGAAGAGUUAGCUAGAAAGGCAGCUCUAAAGGAGAGACAGGGUCAAAGACUAAGGGAGAUGGCUGAAGCAAAGAGGUCCUCUCGAAUUAAUGAGCUUGAAAAUGACAUUAGAGGUUUGGAAUUCCUCUUAAAGCAGCUCAAGCAGGUUGAAGAGAAUAAUGUUCCUGCAUUUCUCAGAGAGACUGGCUAUGCCUCUAAACAGGAAAUAGAAUCUAAUCUGGCAAAGGCAAUACAAUCUUUACGCAAAGCGAAGGGUGAACAAGUUGAAACUGAGGAGAAGAUGGACGCUUCCACGGCUGACAAGUAUAAUCUUGUCAAUGUGCCUGAUGAUGUGCUGACACCGGAGCAGGUGUGUGUUCCGAUUCCAAGUGUUCUAACAGAUCUUUGUUUUAUAGUUUCUGUUGAUUUUGGUAUUUUCUACUGCACAGCAAUUCCUAGUUAAAUAAGAUACAAGACCAGUGAAUGGCUGCUAAAUUGGAACCACAGUAUGGUUUUCAUAUUCUGUUCGUAACUUUCAGAAAUUUAAAUUUUGCACUCUUGUUUCCAUGGCAGCUUAAAGAAAAAAGGAAGCAGUUGUUUCUCAAAUCCACAACUGAGGCCAGGCAACGAGCUAAACAGAAGCGGAUUGAAGAGGAAUUAGAAAGAGAAAAGCAAAUGAAAUUGGAGGAGGAAAAGCGCUUGUAUGUUUUUGAUAAGCAAUCUUAACUUGUCUAAUCAUUGCUUGAUGAUAUUGUAGAUAUGUAGUCUCUUUUACGUUGUUAUUAUUACAUUAUGCUUUGCUUCUGAAUGUAGAGAGAACCCAGAACGUUAUUUGGAGGAUUUACGUGCUAAAUACCGAGAGCUUUCUGAGAAAGUGGAGCAGCGAAAACGCUUGAAGACAAAUGGCAACAACACAAAUGGGAACCAAAAUGGUUCUGGAGGUGUGGGCCGUGGUGAAAGAUUGAAUGCUGCUCAAAGAGAAAGGAUGCGCCUCCUGACAACAGCUGCAUUUGAUCGAGGGAAGGGCGAGGACACUUUUGGUAUCAAAGAUGAAGAUUGGCAACUUUACAAGCUAAUGAGUAGAGAUGAUGAUGAAGAAGAUGAGAAGUCAAAUGAGGAUGAAGCAGACCUUGCUCGCGUCUCUUCAAGACUGCGGGUUUGUGAUUUUUUUAGAUCUCACGUCCUUGUGCGUUCUUACAGAUAUUUCUUUUAGCAAUUUCAUCCAUUUUUGCCUGUCAUAUCUGUACAGGAAAUAGAUCCGACAUUUUUUCCCAAAGCAGAGUCAGGAUCCUCAACUGCGGAGCCGCCACGAUUUCGUCCUCUAACUAAGGAAGACUUCCAGCUCAUUCUAGGAGUAGAAAGAUUCCGGUGCCCUGAGGUUCUGUUCCAGCCCAACUUAAUUGGGAUAGAUCAGUCAGGGCUGGAUGAGAUGGCUGGGGUAUCAAUAAGAAGGUUGCCGUGUAAGAACCAAGGGUUGGAAGAGAAAAUAACAAAAUCAAUCCUUAUGACUGGUGGGAGCUGUCAAUACCCGGGAAUGGCUGAGCGCUUGGAAGCUGGGAUUAGGAUGAUUAGGCCAUGUGGAACACCUAUAACAGUUGUCAGAGCAUCAGAUCCAAGUCUUGAUGCAUGGCGUGGAGCUUCUGUUUAUGCUGCUGCCAUGCAAUUCCCCAAUCAGACAUUUAGUAGGACGGAUUACUAUGAAAAGGGCGAAGAUUGGUUGCGGAGAUAUCAAUUCAACUACACACUUUGAUUGUUGUAGAUGAACUUUAUAUAUUGUUAGGGCUUCCUUGGCUUGGUGCUAUUGAGAAGUGCUCAUAACUUGGGAAUUUGCUAUUUUACACCAUUCAUCUAUAUAUUUAUGGGUAUAGAUUGAUGCAUCUGAAUUCUCCGAGCUGUCCGGCUCUGCUCAUUGAUGAACUAGUAGGGAACUUUUGUAGUUGUCCCGGAUAUAAUAUACGAAGUACUUCCGUAGCCUCGUGAUUAAUCUGCCAGGUUCUGCCUCCCUCUUGCACUUGAUUAAUUUAUUAUUAAUUUUACAGUGCUAUUUUGAUAGAUCGUUGAAGUUAUAUUUUUUAAAGUUAAUUUUAUAUACACUAACAAUAUAUAUUAUAUCAUGGUUAGAUGUGUAUCACAUUUAAACAUUGAAUUGCUAGUUAGAUGCAUGUCACGUUCAUACGUCUAUUUUCAUCAAAAUUAUUUUUCCUUUCAAAUCCACUUUAAAGAAACAAGACCUUGAUAAUAAUAAUAAUAAUAAUAAUAAUACGAGAUGUCAUAAUCUCUUUAUGAGGAUAAUAAUUGUACGACAGAUGAAUGUAGUGAUCUACAAAUUUCAUCUUGACGAACAAGACAUAGCGAACUCCAUGGCUGAUCUCCCCGAAUUUGCUUGUUCAGAUUUAUAGAUUUUUCCCCCUCCAUGAAUGACUUCCUUGGUCCUUCCCUCCCAAAAGGGGUUAACUAAGAGCUGAUAUCUCCACUGAACUCUCCAGUAAAGAAUAACAACAUCAGCCCGGUCCACGAACGGCUACUUUUUCGCAAACCAGCCCAAAAAAUAAAUCAGAUAAUCAAAGAGUUAAGGCUCCUCCGCCCAUAUGACAAAAAGUUCCACAAGGCUUCCCCGGCACAAAUGACCGUUAGAACAUGACCAAUCUUCUUCAAAUCCCUAAACGCCCUUUACGUUUCCUUACACAGAAAAAUACGAAAAAAAAAAAAAAAACUAACCGUUGAGCUCCCCUCCCACCAGCUCAGUCCGCUCCAUUUCCAUUCCUACACUGCCCACCCUUCCCUGCUGACAUUCUCCUCCUCCCGACUAAAACUCUUGAAAAAGCCCUCUCUUAAACUCUCUUCUCAAACAGAGAGGGCCUCUUUCAAAUUAUUCUUUAGAAGGUGAAAGAAAACAGCAGAAGUUACAGAUCAACAAAGGAAAAAAGUUGAACUCAGAAACAGAAAAAUGGACUCAACUCAAAGAAGAAAAAGUGGGAUUAACCUUCCAGCUACAAUGUCUGAGACCUCUCUUCGGCUGGAGGCCUUCUCAUCCGCCUCCCCGGCCGAUCAGUAUCGAAUUUGCCAUCACCUAUGACAAUGUCACCAAGAACUAUAUCCAAUCUUUCAUCCCCUUCAUCAAAAUCUACGAGUUGCAGUGACAGGUUUAUUCCUUGUAGAUCAUCAUCGAGGCUGCACACGUUUGGGCUGAUAGAGAAAGCGUCGCCAGUGAAGGACGGAGGAGGAGGAGGCAAUGAGGCUUAUUUGAGGUUGCUGAAAUCUGAGCUUUUUGGGACUGAUUUUGGUUGUUUUUCUUCUCCUGCAGGUAAGGGGUCACCACUGAGUCCAAACAAGAAUAUGCUGCGGUUUAAGACUGAGGUUUCUGGGCCUAAUUCUCCUUAUUCGCCUUCUGUCCUGGGGCAGGACAGUGGGCUUUCCGCUGAGGUUUCAACCCCUCCUAAACCGCCUCGAAAGGUUCCCAAGACACCCCACAAGGUAUACGACUUGCUUUAGCCUUCAAUUUUGAUUGUUAAAAAUUGUCAAUUUUGCAGACCCUAACAAUACUAACAUAAAUACGUGAAAAUCCAGCGAUAAAUUGUCAAAAAAGGAUUGAGAAACGUUAGCUUGGAAUUUUUAGAUUUUGUAUGUAUUAAGUAAUUGGGGAAGUGAGCAAAAAGGGUGGAGCAAAGUGCAUAGUGAUUGUUAAUCGACCAUGUGAUAGGCUGCCUAUUUACCUGGGGGACCCUCCUUUAAUCUACUCCUGAACACCAUUAGGCAAAAUUGUACUAAUUGAUUAUAGCGGUCUUUGGUUUGGUACAGAUUUUCAAUGCUUUUCCAUGUUCAUAAUACCGUCUGGAAAAAAGGAAUUGCAGCUUAGCAAUAGUUUGAUGGUCCAGAGAAUUUUCUCUGCUUUGUUACGCUAUUUUGGCUUGAUGUCUCAAGGAGGGCUGCCCUUCUGGUGGCUGUAGUUAAGCUUUUGCCCUUAUUCAUUUAACUUGAAGCAAAGAGUGAUAGAGUAUUGUUCAAUCAUUAAGGCCUCUACGACUGCAGGUUCUUGAUGCGCCAGCACUUCAAGAUGACUUCUAUCUAAACCUAGUUGAUUGGUCAUCUCAAAAUGUCCUUGCAGUUGGCUUAGGAACUUGUGUCUAUUUAUGGAGUGCCUCAAACAGUAAGGUGAGUUGAUGGUUAAAAGAUCUUAAUCUUCUUUGUUUCAUGAGGUUUGAAGUAUGUGAUUAUAAUUUGCUGCAAACAAGAAAGUAUUUAUCAAAAGCAGCAGUUACUAAUUUUCCUCUCAACUCCAUAUUUCUUUUUCCUUCUAAACCAUUUUAGGUAACAAAGCUGUGCGACUUAGGACCUAAUGAUGGUGUCUGCUCAGUCCAAUGGACCCGAGAGGGUUCCUACAUUUCAAUUGGCACAAAUCUUGGUCAAGUUCAGGUAUAAUGUUUUUUGUUCUUUCUUUUAAAAUAUUAGGGGAGGGGUAGUACAUCGUGCGCACCUUUUGAUGUCUCGCAUAUAAUUCGAAUUUGGACGCGACUGAGCAUUUAUAGUCCUAUCCUCAGGUUUGGGAUGGAACUCAGUGCAAAAGGGUCAGAACCCUGACUGGGCAUCAAACAAGAACUGGAGUCCUAGCAUGGAGUUCACGCAUAUUAUCUUCAGGAAGCAGAGAUCGGAACAUACUACAACAUGAUCUUCGAGUACCGAAUGAUUUUAUAAGCAAACUUUCUGGCCACAAGUCUGAGGUAACAGCCACAUUGUCAUUUGGCUGUAGAAACUCAAAUCUAACCAAUGAGUACUUCAAGGGAAUGUCAAGAUAGCUAACAUUUACUAAUGUCCCCCGACUCAGGUAUGUGGUCUUAAGUGGUCUCAUGAUGAUAGGGAACUCGCAUCUGGAGGAAAUGACAAUCAGGUAGGCAAGCUGAAUUCUUCACAUUGACAGAAGUAACUAAGCAAUGCUGUAAUACUCUUCUUUUAUAAGUGACGUGCAGCUUUUGGUCUGGAAUCAGCACUCCCAACAGCCAAUUUUGAGACUCACAGAGCACACUGCUGCUGUAAAGGCGAUUACCUGGUCUCCUCACCAGAGUGGGCUCCUCGCUUCUGGUGGAGGAACUGCUGAUAGGUGCAUUCGAUUCUGGAAUACUACCAAUGGCAAUCAAUUAAAUAGUGUGGAUACAGGAAGCCAGGUUUGUGGUAAAAAUUUUUAUGAAUAGCCAAGAGAACUCUCGAUUGCUUACAAUGGUUACGCUACCACAUUUAACUCCCAACCACCACCCACACCCAAAAAAAAAGAAAGGAAAAGAAGAAAAGAAAAACAACGUUUGGAAGUACCAUGCAGCGUAUCUUGAAUUUCCAGAGGGAUUUUGUGAGCUUUUCUUAUGUGUUCCAUACAUACCUGUAGGUAUGCAAUCUAGCAUGGAGUAAGAAUGUGAAUGAACUAGUCAGCACUCAUGGGUAUUCGCAGAAUCAAAUUAUGGUAUGGAAGUAUCCAUCAAUGGCAAAGGUAGUAGACUUCCUGGGCCAAUUUUGAACAAUCAAUAUUCUUUGAUUUUGAAGGAAACCACCCUGAAUAUGUUAUCCAAGCUCCAUAAAUUGUUUUUCUGCAUUGACUUCGACAGGUUGCAACUUUAACUGGCCACAGUUUGCGGGUGCUCUAUCUUGCUUUAUCACCUGAUGGCCAGGUACUGCAGCAUGAAACAGAAGGUCCUGUGAGAAUAUAUUUCUCUUGUGCAUAGUAAACAAAUGAAUACCACAACCUUUUUUUCCCACAGACAAUCGUGACUGGAGCAGGUGACGAGACAUUACGGUUCUGGAAUGUGUUCCCAUCUAUGAAAACACCUGUAAGUACCAAGUAGCCGUAGAACAGAAUUUUGUGAUCAAGAUAUGCUAUCAUUCAAGAACUUCCUCUUAUCAUGCCUUUCCAAACACGGCGCAUGCAUCUAACUAGUAAUCUUUCAGGCACAGGUGCAGGAUACGGGGCUUUGGUCUUUGGGAAGAACUCAUAUUCGGUGACAAUUUAGAAUAAUUGUUCAGGGUGCAAGCUGCUGGGCAAAAGGAGAUUUUAGCAAGCUGUCCAUAUGUUACUACUCGCUUGUUUUAAGUUGUCCAUCCCUUGCUUUUUCACCAACAGAUUUAUGGUUGAAAAGUUUGGCAAGAAAAAUGGAAUUCUUCUGAAAAAUUUUUUCAAUUCAUUAACAAAUUUUUUUUUUCAAUGCAUACAAUAAAUUCGUCUGAUCUUGCAAUUUUGCAAAAGAAAAAUGUAAAAACAUAGACCUAGAAACUAGCUUCCCAACUGGAAAAAUGUUGCAAUGCAUUUGUCACAUCAGCAACUAGAAUUCCUGUAUCUGAGUUAUCAUCAUCAUCAUCAUCGUGGUUUCAAAUGUGUGAGAAAUCAUUUUCAGCAUUUGUGUUGUAAUGGGAUGUUGGGGGACAUUUUCUGAUACAAUCCAGUAUGCAUGUUGGAUGAAUAUUUCCGUCCCCGUUACAUUUGUUAGCACACCCGGCGGAGCACUCCUCAUAGGCGCCCUCCGUACCGAUUUUUUCUUUAGGAAUUGGCGGGUCUGCUAUUGCCGCCGCCGCCACCACCAUCCCAAUUAUCAUCAGACCAAGAAAACUCAUCUUUCCGACUUCCAUUGGCUGCAUUUCUGUCAUCGUAGGCUGCAAAAAGAACAGGACACAUUUUCUAACACAACUCGGGAGACAUUUUAUACUUGAAAACAUUGAAGAACUUGCUUGUAAUUGAAUGUCUUUUGCAUGUAAAUCGCUUGCUCCCACGACCGGAUCCCUAGCAAUUCAAACAGUGGCACUAGAGGUGGCAAAAUGGAUAAAUGGUUUAUUAUUGGUUUUGACUUAAUGGAUGGUGGAUGAAAUUUAUCCAAUCCAUUUAGAUCCAUUUAUUAAAUGGAUGGAUCUAAAUGGAUUAAAUAAAAACCAAUUAUUCAUUUAUAAUCCAUUUAAAUAUUUUUGUUACUUUUUUUUUGUAUUACCAUUUCUUGUAAUAUGAAAAUACUUUUUUAUGUACUUGUAAAUUUUUGGUGUAUUUGGAUGAGAAAAAGGACAAAUGAAGGCAAGACCUGAUUGAUGAAGCCAAGACCUAAUUAUCACUGGUUUAAAAAAUGAGAACAUUGAGCAGCAUAAGACACCAGUAAAUGAACAAGUCCAAUUUGUUAGAUAGCGAAUUGAUAUCGUUGGGAAAAAGUAAUGGGUUUGCUUUAUAUCGUUUCUUAAAGAUAAUAGAAGGAAACCACGGAGCAGGUUCUUUCAAAGCUACAAAUAUAUUUGUUCGCUCAGAUUCGGUCGCCUCCAUUUUAGGAUAGCUCCUUCUUUAGUCAUUUUCUUUCAUUUGGUAUUUAAGUAAAUGGAUAUAUGUGGUUUUUGUAGGUAAUCCAUAUAAAUUCAUUUAAUUUAAUGGUUUUACUUUGGUCAACCAUUUAAAACCAAUACUAUAAAUGGAUAAUUCAAAUCCAUUUAAUUAUGGUUUAUAUGGAUGGAUAAAUGGAUCUCGAUCCAAAUUGCCACCUCAAAGUGGCACAACACGGAUCUAGGGCCAGGGAUUAAUUUUCGACGUCACGUCAAAUGUAGUUACGAUCAAUAUGUGUUAUAUAACAUUUUACAUUUUUCCCUUAUGUUAAUUAAUUAUAUUUUGAAGUCUAAAUUGUGCUAGUUUAGAAACGUAGUAGCAGUCUCGAACUUCUAAUUUUACAUCAAUAUCUCUAAUCUUAAUUAGAUCCAACGUUCUUUCGAAGUGUAAGAAUUAAGAAUUUUUUAUAUUAUUGAACGGACAAUAUAGAUGAGAAAAAGACUUGUCAAAAUUUUAAGGGAGCAAUGUCGACAAGAAAAAGAAUUUAAAAAAUUUUUGAAUGUGAAAAUAGGGAAUAGCUUAAAAAAUUUCCAGAGUUUCCGAACUUUAAAAAAAAAAAAAAAACUCUGUCAAAGUUGAGAGGAUGCAGUGCCGAUCCUCAAUUACAAUUUUUUUUUUAAGAAAAGAAAUACCCUCCACUGUGCCUAGAUGUGAGUGCAGGCGGUAAUGAUCAACCGAAUUCCAAGGCUCGUCGUCUACGGUAAUUUAUAUCUAUAUGUAUUCAAAAAGGGAUUUUUAGUAGAAACCUCUCAAUGACUUCUAAACUUCUCAUUCUUUUUUUUUUAAUUUUUAUAUUUAUUUUAAUACAUAAAAAGUAGUGGGUUAUAACCCACUUUAUCACCAAUCAAAUUUAAAUUUAAAAUAUUCUCAUUAUCUCUUAACUCAUUCUAUAACUACUCCUACAAAUUCUCUAAUCAUCAUCCCACGUUUUCCCCUACAUUUCCUCCCACGUUUUCCACUCCAAUUAAGAGUUUACUCCAACUAUCUCUUAACUCAUCCUACAAACACUCCUACAAAUCCUUUAAUCAUCAUCCCACGUUUCCCUCUAUAUUUCCUCCCACAUUUUCCAUUUCAAUUAAGAGUCCAUUCCAACUAUCUCUUAACUCAUCUUACAACCACUCCUACAAAUCCUCUAAUUAUCAUUUUAUUAACACAGUUUGACAGUAGUUUGAUUCAUAUUGUGGGAUAAAUUUGCUAAUGAUGAUGCUGAACGGUUAUAUCAGUCUGCUACAAAAAAUAUUAUUUUACUAGCAUGUGGUAUUUGCGUACGAAAUUUCAGAGGUAAAUCAAUUGCUUUUAGUUAUAUUCUAUAUAUUUUGAAUAGCUUUUGGCGAAUAUAACCAUACUAUGUAAGACCAUCACUGUGUACAAUUGGAUCUAGCAAAUUGUAUAUUAAUUACAAUUUAAAUUUUGCUCGAUACCUGCGCAGUUGGUGAGUUUCUCAGUAACACUAUAUCAAACUAUUAAUAUUGUUUCGUACUCUUAUUGACAUGUAUUUCAAAAAAAUUGCAGGUUUGAAAAUAAUACAUAUGCCCGCAAGUUAGUUACGUGGCUGAGAUCUAGCAAUUUCACAACACCACAAGCACCGUUGAUAGCAAAUUCAAAGAGAAUAUGGAAAUCUGAAUAUACAAUCAUACCUACGGUAAGCUUACUCUAUUUUAAUUAAUUACUGAAUGAAUUUUUUCAAUUUAUAAUUAUAACCUAUAUCUGCUUUCAUUCGUAUUAAAUUAAAUAUUUUCGAAUACUUGCUUACAUUCAGAGCAUUAACAUAAAAAAUAUGUUUUACGAGCUAUGCAAAAAUUGUGGACAACCAUAUGAAGGUCAUUUUUCAAAGACAGUGUGUAUGCAUUGUAAUAACGUGGUUGAUACGGUUAUUAGGUAAUUAAUUUCAUAUAUAUUUAACUUCAAUAUAUUUUUUUGUAUUGCAUAUAAUAUUUUAUUUGUCAAAUAGGUAUAAUGUUAACAUACAAAUCAAAGAUUUCAGUGGUAACAUGUAUUUUAAUCUACAAGAUAGACAUGCACGAUUUGUAUUUGGUUGUGAUGUUUCUUAUUUCAGAGAAUUACAAAGGAAUGUAGAAUUUCUUAAUAUAUAUUUAUUUUUUAUAAUAAUAUUUAUAAAUUAUAUAAAAAAACACUAAUUUCGUACGUUCUUAAUUAUCAGGAAAAUGGUGAUAGGUUGUUCGACCAAUGAAUUAAUUCAUGCAAAGAUCGUGCAUUUUCAUUUGUAGUACGCACUCCACAAAAUUCAACAAAAUUAAUUAAAUCACCAAUUUUAGCAUUCGUACUAAAAGUGGAUUGAUGUGAAGAGCGUUCGCAUCUACAAGUAAGAUUAUCAAAUCGAAUGCUUAGUAUUUGUAAGUAUUUCAUUUUAACAACAUUCAAUUACAUUUAUUUGUAGAAAUAUAUCAUUCCCUUUUUUAAUAUAAAUUUUUAUUUUUUUUUCAAGAUCCAUCUUUCGAAAAAAGACAGUUUUUGAAUGAUAUACACAUUCUAUUAUAUUUUAAACUAGUAUUAAACAGAUAUUAUAUUUUAAUUUUGUUGGUACAAUUUUUUCACCUUUAUUUGUUCAUCAUUUUAUUUUUAUUUUUUUCAAUAAUAUCAGUACCGUGCAUAGUACGGGUAUUCACACUAGUGAUUAAUUAACCAGAGAAUGGGAAAAACAUUUUUUUUUAUAUAUUUGUUUAAGAAAGCAAAUAUGCGACAUGGGAUAAGAGAACGAUAGCACAUCAUCAUCAGGAGCUAUAAUCCGGAAAACAGAUGUAACAUCUCCGAUCCUGUUUGAAAGUACCAAAAUUCCACACAUUAUCAAGUGAUGAUGUAACCAAAAGCCCAAAUGCUAUUGGCCACCACCAAGCCCUCAAGGUUUGGUGAAGGUUUGGUGGGAUAGAGGUCAAGGAUUCAAAUCUUGACUCUCAACAAUUGCCACAAUAUGUGAUCUCCAUCUGGCUAUCAAUCCCUCGUAGGUAGGUAGGCGACAAUGCAGUAAACUUGCAAUGUAAGAGUUAUUAAGUUGGGUAUACUGAUUAGGCCUAGUACUUGUGUAACACAAAAAUAGUUUUCCACCACGUCCGUUUACCAUUAAAAUUUCUCAUGCAUGAAUAAAAAUUGAGAAUGCCCAAAGAACACAUCUUGGCUUUGCACAUAUAAAAACGGGACGUGCAAUUAAUUGCCCUGCCUCCUUCAUCAAUUGAAAAGCAUCCCGGAUGGCAGAGCAGUGGAGCGUGGAGGACAAGUCUGAACACACUCGUCUACACAUGUUUGGUUGAGAAAUCCUCUAGAAGUACAGGUAACAUAACAUUUGUAGCGGCAGCACUGAUUUGGUGUAUCUGGAACGCAAUGCAUGAGGCAAUUGUUUGCACAGGUUUCGUUGAUGAAUCCCCACGAGAACAGUUCACGUCGCAUUUGUAUCGGCAGCAUUCAUCAAGCGGCACAGCCUCAACUGUUGAUGAUUCUUUGUCCAUCACUGACCGUGCUACUAUUGCCACUGUCAACAGUGUCAUGAGUUCUACAGCAAUCUUCCCUGCCUCCAUUUUUAUCUACUGCUAGUUCUCUUCUUUGUGACUCGCUAAAGAUAAUUCAUACUCUAUAUAAUAAAGAAAAGGGUUCAAGAAGUUAAUUCCAAGAUUUGGGCAUUUAAUUGAGUAGCUUUGAUGGCAUCAAAUCAAUUACACUUCAUAUGAGCAGUGUACAAAUACCUUGCAUACAAUAUGGUACAAGGCAACCUUGUGUAUGUAUUUCAGGCAGUAAAUCUUGUUAAUAAGUUGGCCAACAAACUAUGGUCAGUGGGGACACUAACGCGUACUUAUUUGAGUCUAAAUCGGUUCUCAAAAAACUGAGGAAAGAUUGUAAAUGUAUUUCUUUUCACAUUAUUUUACAUUCCUUCUUUACCUAAUUGUUAAUGCCUUUUACAACAGGGAUUAAUGCUAAUUUGAUUUUGUUUCUAUUUGAAGAUUUUGGGGUGUGUGUUAGUUCCUGUAGAGUAAUUAACAAAAUUAAAUUGGGGGGAGAGGGGUGUUUGGGACAACAGCCUACUUUCAACAACGCUAUUGCUGGCUAACCAUUUCUACGAAAUUAAAAGCCAGACAUGCUAAUCUUUUCUAGCAAUGAUGCUUUGACCUUUCUGUAUUUUGUUUUGGCAUUUCACAAAAAGGACAUACUUAAGGUUAAUCAAAUAAAAAUCCAUGUCCUUAAGAUCCAUUGCAGUUGAAAAGCACAUUAAUCAGGUAGUCUUUCCUUUUUCCCUUACCUCUAGUAAUGAAUUUCUUUUCAUGAACAUUAACCUCGUUAACAAAUGUAAAAAAAAUUUUUGGCAGCUAGACCACAAUGGAUAGGGUAAAAGUUGGAACAAAAGCUUAACUUCAGAUCAUGCAUGUUCUCUCUUGAUAUCCGCAUUAAAUUUCUGACAUGACGUUAUGUCUUGUACCUGAAAAAUUAACCAACGGCCAUUUUGAAUUAUUGACCACCACAAAUGCCUUUUAAGUUUUUUGUGAUAGAGUUUUUGGCUAAAAUAAUCUACUUUUCAAAAAAUAAUUUCAAAGUAAUACUCUUUCAGAUUUUAUUCCCUUAUUAAUUUAGUUAUUGCCAUGUAGACUCUCCAUCAAAGGAAAAAAAUAACUUGUAAAUAUUUUGUUUAUAUAUUACACAGUUUUUCUUUAUUUAGUGCCUUAAGGACAUUCUGUAAACAAAUUAAAAAAGGAAAGUGGAUCCACAAUUAGUGUUUUAAAAUUGUUGAUCACCCUCCAAAUUACAAUGAUUUUGCCGAAGAACUUUUUUUUUUCUGCCAUUAUUCCUCCCUAGCUUUGUUCUUGACUAUUAUAUCACAAGUUCCUUUCUUUUUUUCUUGUUACUUGCAAUUCUAUAUAUGGUAGUCUUCUAAGUUUGUAUAUUUUAAGAAGUUUCAAGAUAAAUAAUAAUCAUAGUUUACGUGAACUAUAAAAAUUCCACUAUAAGGGGAAAGAAAAUUUGAAAAAAAUUCUCUUGCAUUUUUUGACUUAUAUCAAAAGACAUAUACAUUCCAAAAAAAUAGGAGAGAGAAAAUAUAACUAGCUCAGUGUUAGUAUCAAAAUUAACACGCUAUAUGAGCCAAUCUAAUGUGAGAAACACUGAUUAACUCAAUAAUAGAUAGAGAAAUAUUUUUAUUUAUCUUUAGAAUUGUACAUAAGUAGAAAAAUUUGAAUUAUUGAAAAGUUAUUAAAAAUCUAUUGACGUGGAUUGUACCUCUUAAUAUAAGAUGGAAAUGUGAAUACUUUCCAUACUCAAAGUCCGUAUGGCAACAAGUAGAUUAACAAGGGAAUAUAUUUUGAAAGUGCAUUAAUUUGGAAAUAGUUUCAAAGAAUGAGGUUAUUGUAGAAAUAGACUCUUUGUGAUAUGAGAGGUCAAGGAUUUGAUCAUUACCUCUUAUUACUUGUCACUAAAAUAUGACUUCUCUAAAUCUAAACGAGUAUAUGAUUCGAUAGUAAUUUAGUUCUCGUCGUUCCCCAUGACUCAAUUGAGCCCUCACUUAGACAGAUCAGUUUAAUUGUAGGAAUAGGAAUAAUAUAGAAAGCAUGAAUUGAUUAAAAAAAAUGAAAAAUAUUUAUCUAGACCCAAUCUUGUGGAUCAUGUAUGGUCUCACUGACGAACCCUUUAGUGGCCUAUAAACUAUACAAGUUUUUUUUAAUCAAUUAACAACAUUUAUUCUAUCCAUCUAAAUAAAAUGGGUGUUUUGAUAUCGUUCUUUGAAUUCUUUUAAUUGUAGGGUGCAAGAUUUGAACCCCAACUUACAACUCAAAGAGUGAUUUUAAAUCCUUUUGGUGUCCAUAAAAUCAAAGAUAACAAAAUGUGCCAAACUUGCUUUCCCCCUAGAAAAAUGAAAAAAAAAAUGUUAAACUUUAGUUAUCAACGAUCUUAAUCCUUGGAACAUUGCGUUUUGAGUUGAUUUGCAAUUUUUUUUUUUUUACAAAAAUUAAAGGGAGGAAACUAAGGCUUUAUUUAUCAUAUGAUCACUAAUACAAGAGACCGAAAUUUCAAACAGCACAAAAGCUUAUCCGUAAAGCUUAUUUUCCGAAAGAAAAAACUAGCCAGACGGCUUUGCAUGAGAUGCCGUUGCAAUGGAUUCUGGAGGACACUUCUUGAGACAAUUCUCCACACAUUGUUCAUUGAUAAACCCACCAAAAUCACAGGCAACAUCGCAUCGGAAACGGCACUCGGAGCUUGGCGACUCCUUGCCGAUGGGUUCGCCGUCCACUGCUGAGCUUGCCAUUGCCACCGUCAACAGUAUAGUCAGACCUACGCUUACCGUUCUUGCCUCCAUUUGAAGUAGCUCUCUUUUUAUUACUCCUCUUUGCCUAACUUGAGACAUCUGAUAUGAUGACCACGAGGUAUUUUAUACUUUCAACACAAGAUGCAAGAAGUUAAUUCAAAGAUUUGAGCAAUGUAAAUUGAAUAAUUUUGGAUAAUGUCAAAUUUAAUGAGUAGAUUCUGACGCGUGAUAUUAUCUUUACAUCUAUAUAUUUUAUCCUAACAAUAUAAACAUGCAAAUCGGUUGGAUGAACAGUGAAUUUCGUCUCCUAUCAACACCAUUAGUGUGUGGAUUCUUUGGUCAUUUCACACGGAUUUUAUGCUAAUGGGUUGCCACGGUUGCACAUAUUUUUUGGCUGCAAUUCGUUGAUACCUUUUUCCUGACCAUGCUACCCUUGGAUGUCACUUUUACCCCUGAUGGAGUAAUUAUCCAAAAGAAAUAGAGUUGGCUUUAUGGUAUUUUGGUUCGGUCCAACUCUUUCAGACACCUGCUGUAUUAUGACAUGGCUAAGCUUCCAAUUUUCCGGUGCGGCUAAUUUAAACCGCUUCGCACAUAAAGACUCUUUUAUGUUCCGAUGAAUAGAUUAUUUCUGCACAAGUCUGCUUCCAAGAUAUCUGGAUCUUUUCCAUAUAGUUAUCUAUAAGGUUAAAUUAUUUUUGUUUUGCUAAAAAAAUGCCAAAAAUGUGGGCAUGAAUGAAUGUAUCACAAACAAGUAGAAAACUUCGGCAAUAAAACCAGUGAUCUGCAUUGAUGACUAACCACGCGAUUCAGGGUGCUCAGGUAUAAAGAUUGAAACUGUUGCAAGUUUUUGUGACCAUGGCACAUUAGAUUUUUAGUUGUGACUAUGACCAUAUUCUAAAAUCUCCUCACUUUUUGAAACUUACAGAGAAGGAAAAUGAGGACAAAAGGUAUGUUACUUGUCCUUGCGAGUUCAAGAUACUAACAUAGCAAAUAUCUUGUGGAUUUGGAAAUGCUCAAGACAAUUAGUAUCACAGGCAGACUAAAUCAAGGAAUUAUCAAGUUAAUCACAUUGCUAUACAGUUCGUUCAUGCCAUGCUUCAUAAUCUUUGGGAAGAUUUUAUAAUAAAAGCUUAACAAGUAUUAAUGAUAUUUGCCAUAUGCAAGAAAACCUCUUUUUAUGGUUCUUUGUCGUUGCUUAUUUUGUAUUCAUUUUAGACUUUUACAACCAUUUAUCAUUUUUUUUUGUUUUCAGAACUAAAAUCCUAUUGUUUCACUUUUUCCUCCGCCACCAAAUAGCAUUUCUAUAGAUGUACCAUUUUCUUGGUUGAACAUUAUAGCUAUGGUUCCUUUAAACAUUGGUUAGGUAAUGCAAUCAUGUCCCCUUAUUCAGUUUUGCUUGCUUUCUUUUUCAAGUUUACACAAAUAGGAAACCAAGAAUAGCCAUGGAAGGAAAGCAACCAUGAUUUCUACCCUCUAUUGUUGUUCUCCUUACCAGUUGUUUCAUCUAAGCCACUAUCAGUACUGUGACCUCUGCCUCAAUCUCUGCUCCCACUUCAGCUCAAGCUAACUGAGCUCUCAAAGAAAAUAGAGAGCCAACUAAAACAACACAAAGCGAAAGGAACCUGCAAGCAGCAAAAAUCCACUAAAGCAUGCAAAACUAGAAUAAAUGCCCUCUUCAUCCCCAGCUUCAAAAGCCUCCAACUGUUGUUAUCAGCCUUUGCAGACCAAAGAAUAAAAGCAGCAGAGACUCCACUCUUUUGUCAAGGUUAUAUUUUGGGUACAUGUCAAAUAUGGCACAUGGUUUAAAGCUCAGAACAACUGGAAGGGUGAAAAAUAAAACUAAACCAUGCCGUUUGCACUAAAUCCACAUAUCAUCUACAACGUUGCCUCGAGCUCUUCCAAGUAGGAUCGAAUACACUAUUGCCAACAAUUUGGCAUACGCUAAUCUAUGAAUUUCUGCAUUCUGUUCACAUUUGUAUUCAUGCUCUAUUAAAUCCAGAAGAAACAAGCAGCGUCAAACAUCUCAUUUUUUCAAAGACAAUAAUCCUUGGCAAAUCAAGUAUAUUUCUCUGGAGUAUGACCUCGUAGCUUUAGGUCUCAACCAUGCUGCCUUUUGAAAAGGGGUUUGCAGAUGUGGCUAAAAUCUGCAAAGCAAAUGAUAAUACUUCAUAAGUAUAUUAUACGCAAAUUACUUCAGACCAAUAAGAAUAAACUGCUCUGAGUAACAGGAAAGCAACCUUUAACAUCUUCACUCUCCAAAAGCUUUACAACAAGGUGGCCUCCAGGCAGCAGAAUCCCACGAUGCUCUGGAUCAGAACCAGAGACAUCUGAUUGUUCCUUUUGUUCAACACUAUCAUCAGCUUGCACCAAGCCAGCCUCCCCAACAGCCAAUUCAAGUGUUCGCAUGCCCAAUUCUGCAGACAAAGCUGCAUCCCUAGCUCUGAUCCCAGAAACCAGCGGACACAUAUCAGACACAAUGACUGAGAACCCUUUUUGCUGCACAAAAUUGGAACCAAUUAAGGACCAGCUAAGGAGUUUGCCUCCAGAAAGCAUAGAGCUGACUCACAGAUAUCAUCACAAAUGCAACUAUGUCAUGAUGUCACAUAGAGCUGCAGAAUACAAGGACAUCUACAAUGCCGAGAAAGAGAUGUGCAUGUGCAAAAUAAGGAGAAAAUUUCCCUUUGUCUACAAACAUAAUUAUUAUUGCAAUGCCAGAAGGUUCCGGGCCCCAAAUCAAAUUAGUAACAUAAUUCUUGGCAUGAUAUAAGUAGCAUAUUUCUUCAGCAAUCACUACAAGUAUUUACUCUCGAGUCCAUAUGGUACAAGCAAAGAAAACAGACGUCUAGAUUGCAACUAGGAAGACACAUUUCUUGCCCAAUAACUCCCCAAUUCACUGCAACGUUGUUAUCAACUCUGUCCAAAUAUUGGGUACUCCAUCUAUUAUCAUGGAAUCCGUUGAGAGAAGGCCAAAACUCAGCUAACUCUAGAGAGGGAGGAUCAUCAUAGAUUCUUAAUAUAUACUCUGUUCUUCUUAAUCAGUGACGAAGAUGACCAAUGCACUUUCUAACUCAAGAAAAGAAUCAAAUAAAUUUUCUAUUUCAGUUAACCACAAUAUAUCAGAAGUCAGAACUGCAAACAUGAAACUCAAUUUUUGACAAUACCUUGGGGGAGAGAGCCCUAAUUUGAUCUUUGGGUAAGUUCAUUACAUCAGCACAAACAGUCUGAACCCUUGCAUCACAAUGCAUUGACGGAACCUUCACCUUCUGCUCUGCACCACAGCCAUAACUCUCAUUAAGUCACAAUCUCUCAUUACCCCACAAGCUUAACGAAACUACCAGCAUACAUUCACAAAAUAAGUUUCACAAAUACACCAAGAUAUAAUAAAGAUUGGAACUUGACAGUAACCUUAAGAUCGAUCCCCACAACAGCCCCGCCUUUCUGUAAUGGUCCCAAGCUCUGGCAUGCCACCUGCAUCGCAAUUACAGAUAAAUAAUCCUAAAAGCCAUCCAAGAAGCCCACUUUUUUCUUCAUCAAUCCGAAAAAAACACCUACUUUAGAUGAAAAGAAAGAUCAAACUAUCAAAAAGAAAAACGGUAGAACCUGAAGCCAAGCACCAGGAGCACAGCCCAGGUCAAGAACAGAAGAACCAGGCGUUAUCAAUUUGUACUGUUUCUGCAUUUGCAGCAACUGCCCUUCCCAUCACAGAAUUUGUAGUUUUUCAAAAUGUCAGAGCAUGACCAAAUCCAACUACCAAAUGGGUUUUUCUCGUAAUGUGUUUAAGAUUACAAAUUUCAUAUUCAAUUUGUUCUGGUAGCAUUUCAUAUCCAGUUUUAUGAUCUCUUCAUUUUUAGCUCUUUUGUGGGGAAAAAAUUCAACAAAAUUUACAGAAGUGGGGAAGGAGAAAAAAUUGAACUGUACCUUGAAGGCAGAGCGAGCGACAUAGCCAAGGCGUUGAGCUUCUCUGUAGAAGAAAUCGGGCGAUCCUGCUGCUCCACUCAUGGUUCCUCUCCUUUUCUGCUUUUGCUGCUACAUCCUUCUUGGGGGUUUAAAAUAGGGCUUAUGGAAAUUAUUUACGUUUUGAGACUUGAAAGUCUGGGGCGGGGUUAGGGAUGUAAUCGAACCGGGCUACUAGCGGAUGUAAUCGAACCGGGCUAGGAUGUAAUCGAACCGAGCUACUUGCGAGUAGCUCGGUCAAAAGCUUGACUCGAACUCGGUCAAAUCGAGUUCGAGUCGAGUUCGAGCAGCUCGAUAAGGCUGUCGAGUCGAGUUCGAGUAUCCAGAAGCAAUGCUCGAAGGUUCGACGAGCCUUAUCGAGUAUUUUAAUUUUAAUUAUUUAAUAUUUUUAAUUUUAAUUAUUUAAUAUAUUAUUAUUAUAAAAUUACCCUUAUACCUAAAAGAAUUAUCGAAUUUACGAAAUGUUUCAAGUCAUAUAAAAAUUUUAAAAGGACAAUAAUGUCUUUUUGCUUAAAAAAUAUUAAGAAAAUAAAAUUUAAUAACUCGAACUCAAACGAACUCGAUAAGGCUCGAAUGGAUUCGAGCUCAUGCGAGUCGAGCUCGAGUACUGCGAGCAAGCUUCGAACUCGAGCUCGAGCACCCUAACUGUAUGUCGAGUCGAGCUCGAGUAUGGCGAUACUCGAGCUCGACUCGACUCGAUUACAACCCUAGGUGGGGCUAGUCGAUGUUGGAUCAGGUCCGAAGAAAAAGUAACACAUGCUACUUCAAACUCAACUUGGAGGCCCAAACGCAGAAUUGGAGUUGCUAGACUCCAAUUGCAAUAAAUUAUCACAACUUGUCUUUUUGGUACAAAAAACAGGUUCCAAGAUUAAAUUUGAAUUGUAUUAAGAUGCAUCUUCCUUAGUAUUAUUCUGCAUAACUGGCCAUUUGGAUAGCUCGAGCUGUCCGCUCCCCCUCCUUAGGGUAUGGUGACCUUUCUGACUUGUCCGGGGUUCGAGUCCUAUUGUUAACAUGCUCGGUGUGGAGUGGGGCCCACGGGAUAGCUCGAGCCGUCCGCUCCCCUCCUUAGGGUAUGGUGAUCUUCUUGGCUUGUCCAGGGUUCGAGUCCCGUUGUUAAUGUGCUCGGUGUGGAAUGGGACCUCCUCUCCCGGGCCACAGGGGAUUAGUCGGGCCCCGUAAGAAUUGACCCGGACAUCCCUGUGUUGACAAAAAAAAAAAAAAAGUUAUUAUUCUGCAUGCUAUAUUAAAUGGGAUGUAAAUAAAAGAUCGAUGGGCUACCUAUGCUAUUAGGUGCUUAAAAUGAAAAAAAAAAAAAAACGCUAUUUCUGUAUUCAAGGAUGGAGGGGCCACCUUCUACUCAGAGCGAGCAAUUGCACUCCCUUAAAUUUCAUGUUGCAAAUAUUAAAUAAACAAUUAAUAACAAAAUUUUGUUAUUAAAGACACAUAAUCUCAAAUUGAAUAAAAAAAAAUUUGUUUUUGACAUAAUGGCAACAUCAUUAUAAGCGUACAAUUUUGUCUCUAUUGACUAUAGGUCAAUAGACUCCAUCCAUCAUUGUUCAUAUCUCAAGAUUUUCUUGGAAAAUGGCUCUAGUUUGUUAAGAGCUGCUAGAAACAUACACGCUUCAAUGAACAUAUAUUAUUUAUGACCCAUCUUAGGUCAGUGUUAAUACAAAAUUUAGGACAAAGCAUAGCCCAAAAUUGAAAGAUCCUUCCUGCGCGCACUGCCCAAAAUUGAAAGAUCGGAUCGGACCAUUUGCAUGCAUGACUUGCUGAGAUCGAUCUUGCUCAAACACUUCUCUAGUUAUGGCCAUUAUGUUAUGGCAGGUAGCCUCUAUCGUGGCUAGUCAAUGGGCGUAACUAGGGAUAGGGGAAGGUUCCUCGGGUGUUUUUGAGUAGGGAUGAUAUCUGCAUUGCAUGUUGUUCUCCAUCACCAAUAAUAUUUACAAUGUCGCUGAUGUCUUCAAUGUUACGUUUGAGAGGGUUUGUUUUUUUUUUUUAAUUUAUUUUUUAACUGAAAUCAGGGAUUAUGAAUUAAUCAUUUAGAAGCUUGAAUACUACUAUAUAAUUUGCACGACAUCUUUACAAGCUUUUUCUCUUUUUUUUUUUUAAAAAAAAAAAAAAACUUAUAUCCACGGAUCAAGUGCUGGAUGGCUACUUACUAUCAUUUAAAGAAAGAAAGAAAGAAAAAAAACAAGUGCUGGAUAGCUGAAUAGUUAGUAAAAGUUGUUUAAUUAAUUAGGUAAUCUAUGUCAACACGCACGUAUGAUCACGAAGUCUAUAAACUUCUAAUAUUUUAGAUAUAGCAUUCCUUUAUUAUUAUUGUUAUUAUUAAUUUUGUUUUUUUAGCCUAGUGGAUGAACAGAGAAGAGUGGUUAAUUAGUGACGCACAUUAAAAACAUAUUAUUAUUGUGUUGAGAAGGCCUCAAAAAAAGACACAAAUGCUAAAUCACACAAGAAAGUUGGGGAACGUCUUUUGGGUCUCAUGAGAAUGGUGCGCACUGACGUUAGUAAAACAAUUAAAUUGAUGGUUCCAGAAGUUGGUCAAACGAGUUGUAUAGAUUGGCAAAUAAAAUACUCACUCCACAACAACUUUCAGAUGCCUCACUGACCACUGGUAUUGUGGCUGCGAGUCUCCCCCGACGUUACCAUUGUACUGCAGCAUUGUUGCCAAAAGUAUGCAGUACAAAACCACUAAUAAUCAUUUGGGGUCAUUCAGAGAGCUUUAAAAUUUUAUUUGGAUGUAUGUCAAACGAUCAAAUUCCUUGAUUUACAUACUGAACAUCCUGAAAAUAUUUCAUCAGCGGAUACGUAGGUAUCCAUUUACGCCGGUAGUAGCCAGUCCCCUCCGAGUUCCUCGCUCGACCCCUUUGAAUUCCCCUUCUUCCCCUAGUAUAGAGUACGAGCAAAUGUAAAAUAGAAUCUAUUGUGUCCGAUUAAAAAAAAAACCCUAAAGCAAUGAAGCAGUGACACGCUUUAACAGUCAAAAUGGAGCCUUUCAAAGAUGGCUAGUACUAGUAGUAGUGUUUAUGUUUCCUGGAUUGUGAGAUGAGUAACGCGUCUCCGCGUUUAGCAAGAAUUCUAAUGAGUGGUCUGCCAAGUCUACCUAUUGGAGCGUUAUCCGCAGGCUUAGUCUAAACAGACGGUAAUGAAAAUGCUGAUCUUGUCGGCGCAUACAUUACAACUUUCAAAAUACAUAUACUAGUAGUAGCCAAUCCAAUUGAUGCAUGAUUACACGGUGCAUUGGUUUGUUAAAUCGUCACGUGAGUCUAUUCCAAGAUUUGGAAUGGAACAGAAACAGUUGGAUUCAGGUAUGCACCUGCUUCAACUAAAGAGAAAACAUACAAGUCAAUUGCUUGUGCAAGUGAACUGGAUGUUUCCACUCGUCCUCAAAGAAGCUGACUGAAGCGAGCCAAGACAGCAUAUCUGCCCCUAAAAACAAGAAACAAGCACUAAUUUUUAAGAACAUGAGCAGUUGAAUCAAUGUGAACUUCUUCAUAAGGCAACAACUAUGAAAGUUAAAAGGCCCUCAGAGUUCCAUGAACAGUUGGAGGAGGAUGUUAUUUUGGCUGUCUGGCAACAAAAAUUCUAAAACAAUCUUUUACCAUUUUCGUUCACUGAACUUGACUGCUAAUUACAGAUACCAGAGAAUGCAUGUAUAAAAGCUCUCCAGUUCUACUUUAUUUGACUACUACGAAUCUUGUCACACAGGACAAGCAUGGAUGUCUGUUAUAGGAAUCCUAUGACAACAUAACACUGCUUCUAGUCAUUCUAUGUCGACUUGACAACCGCUGGAAUUUCCAAUUUCUAGUCCCCGUAGCAGGAUAUACCAAGACAAGAAUUGGGAAAUCUGCUUCCAAUUAGCUUCUUGAAGAACGAAGAAUAAAAAACAAUCUCGAUUAUAUCGCAUUAUAUAUGCUGACACUGAUAAUUUGCUGAAGUUGAGAAGUUUUUCACAUCUAACCAGAAAGUCCAGAAGUUGAUCAGUACCUCGUCUUCAAAAACUAAUGCAUGUGUGCAAAAAUAAGAUUUGGAGGAUUCGAUGAUAUCUGUCAUUUCAAGAAUAAUAACCAACAAAUUCAAUCAGCUGGCGUCCAAGAAGAGAGAGCAUACAGAAUUCGUCCCUUCCAACCCUGCAACAGCCACUGGCUAUCCUCGUCAAUCACAAAAUCCUUGUCAUAGGACUGCCCGUUCUUUUGCCAUCCUCAUGAUAUCCUCGUUCAAUGGAAGCUGUCUGAAUCCUGCCCGUAAAUUUCGAACCAGCCAUUGCUUGUAAGUCUCUGGUCGCUCAACGCGCUCAGCAGCUUCACAUGCAAUGACAUUCAUUGCCUCUCGUCCAAAUAUUGUUUUCUCAAGCAGCAUUCUUUCAUGAAUUUCACGGGGAACAUUAGCCUCUAGCAUAUCAAAGAAAGAAGAAUAAUGAAAUAGAGCCUCUCGGAAUCGAGUGACAAAGAAAGGAGCAUUAUAUGCACCGUUGACUAUCCCUAGCACGAAAACGUCCGGUUUCAUCUUCCGAAUGAGGUUCAAGACGAUGUUUCGCGGACUAUUCACCACAACAGUCUCAUCGAGUAGAUUCCUCAUUCUAUAGAGACAGUUCACGGCAAGCACCUCAUCUUCACGGAUCUUCAGAUCUUCAAUCCUAACAGUUUCCCACUUCUGUGCUAUAGCAACGAACUCAAACGGCACUUUGAAAGUCUCAGCAUAAUUAGCCAGACGGCGACCUGUCUCCUCAACCCUCUCUGCUGGUCGAAAUCCAGGAUGUGGAAGAUCAAUCCCCGUGAUACGAAGUUUGGGAGGGCCACCUGAUCUAGAUGAGAGGCGUUGUAUGAGGCAUGGCCACUGGAAACCAUAUAGAAUACCAAAAUCAAUUAUGUGUAGCGUUGAGCCUUUCUCAGCAGCAUGCCAAAUCGUCUUAUUGGAGAAGAAAUUAGAGAUCUUCCUAAAUGGGCAGGCAGCAAGAUAAAGCUGGUAAGCUUUUAAGACAUCAGCAGCUGAUGUAGGCAUGGUAAUAAGGGCUUUGUAGAUCUGAGUGCCGGAGCCAGCCAUACGUGCUUCAAGACCAUCAGCGAAAUAUUUGGCCAAUCGUUGCAUCCCAUCCCCAGUUGGAGAACAAUGUUGCCUAAUCUGCUUCAAAAACUCAUUUGCAGUCCUUCGAUCAUCAGCAGCAAUCGCUUGAGCACAAAGGGUCAAGAGGGUUCUCAAAUCGACCACGUUCCUUUUGCCCUUGUUUCUUGCUACGAGAUUUCCCACCACUAGAACCCUUCAAUUUAUUGUUCUGUGGAACAUUUUUAACCGCCAUAUCCUGUAAUGCUUUACGGAGAUCAGACUCAUUUCUACCUUCACUGCAUAACAGCACCUUAUCAAACAGAUCCGACCUCACAGUUGAUUCAGUGAACACAGCUGACUGCUUGUUACUCCUACCUCCCUGUUGUUGCAAAUCUUCAUGAAGUGGAUUUUUCUUCCCCCUCGACUCAUCAGGUGAAUAUCCAUUUUCACUCCUCUCUACCUUGACAGUCAUAGGCCAUUUUUUCUGGACCUUAUCCAACAACCCGUUCUCUGGGAAUCAACAAGCAAAGCAUUGCCAUUAGGAAGGAAUUUGCUUGCUUCCUCAACCCCCUUCUUAAAUUGCAUAGCAGACUGGCUAUCACUAAAUAUAUCAGAAAUCCUAAGGAUACUAUCAGGAGAAUCGAUAUGCCCAUCAGCGACAGUCCCACUGCUAUUUGAUGAACUGUAGGGUGAGAAAUGUUGUACGUAAGUAGAAUCCGAUCCACUAGUAUCAUUAUUCCAACUUGGGCACCAAAUAAGACCACCAUAACCCCCAGGAUAGCUUUCCUCCCUGCUUGAAACCCUCAGAUUCGAACUGGGGACCUGAUGAUCAGGUGGAGGAUACUUCUCGCCAAGAACAUCAUAGAAUGAUUUUUCCGCCGCUUGAAGAGCGGCCGACUCUUGAAACAUACACCCCUUAUCCUCCAUCUCCUCUUCCAUAAGCAUGUCAUUUAUAUACUUAAGUACCGCAUCACUAAAAUCAUAAUCCUCGUUCGAAUCACCGCUUGACAGGGGAACAAAUACAUUUGGAUAUAGGUGAGAUUGGACUGACAAACGGGAAGCAUAAUUUCGUUCGACUACAUUACCAUCGAGUCUUAAACUGCCAAUCAGAUUGGGAUUAGGAACAACAGAAACACCUUCAUCAUUAAGCUCAAUUCCAGAGGUGGUCCCAUAGCCCACUCUUGAGUUUCCAUCCAUAACCAUGGAUUUUUUGUCAGCAGCAAUACUUUUUAACUCCU